UUUUUUUUUUUUUUUUUUUGGUGGGGUGCUGAGCAGGGCCGAUGUAUUACAAUGGAAUUUAUCAUCUCUUCUACCAGCAUAACCCUUAUGGUGCGGUCUGGGGCAACAUAGUAUGGGGCCAUUCAGUGUCAAUGGACUUGAUUAAUUGGAAAGCAUUAAAGCCCGCAAUAAAGCCCACAAAACCAUAUGACAAACACGGUUGUUGGUCCGGCUCAGCCACGAUCCUUCCAGGCAACAAGCCCGUUAUCCUCUAUACUGGGGUAGUAGAUGAGAACCAGACACAGGUCCAAAACUAUGUACUACCUGCCAACAUAUCCGAUCCAUAUCUUGAAGAGUGGAUCAAGCCCGACGACAACCCGUUAGUCGUUGCUGAACCGGGCGUUAACAGGACAGCUUUCCGCGACCCAACAACCGCGUGGAUGGGACGGGAUGGCCACUGGAGAAUCCUGAUCGGUAGCAGGAGAAAACACACGGGGAUUGCCUAUUUGUACAAAAGCAAGGAUUUUAUCAAGUGGGUUAAAGCUAAACAUCCGUUGCAUUCAAAGGAUAGAACUGGGAAUUGGGAGUGCCCCGAUUUUUUCCCGGUUGCGAGGGAAGGAAAAAAGGGACUGGACAAUUCAAUGAUUGAAGAACAAAACGUUAAAUUUGUGUUAAAAGUUAGCCUUGAUACCACCAGAUACGAUUAUUAUACGGUCGGUAAAUACUUUCCCGAGAUCGACAGGUACAUACCUGAUAAUACUUCCGUGGAUGGCUGGAAAGGAUUAAGAUAUGACUGUGGAAAUUUUUAUGCUUCCAAGAGUUUCUUCGAUGCCAGCAAGAAUAGAAGGAUCCUGUGGGGUUGGUCCAAUGAAUCGGACACCAAAAUGGACGAUGUUGAAAAAGGAUGGGCUGGAAUUCAGGUAUUGUAGGAUCUUAUACUAAUAAUAGCCUAGCCUAUCUUUUCAAUAGUAAAGUCAUGUGUUUGGACAGUUUUUACUAACAUACUACUAAUUAAGUUUGUUUGUUUGUUUGUUUUUUCUUUUGGUGAAUCAUUUGAUAACCUUCAUAUGAUAGCUCGUAUGAUAGACGAUAUGCUUGCUUUACGUCUGUGUGCUAGACACCAGACAGAUGUACUACAUUCAUUCCUUAACACGUGCAUUAAGUUUCGAUAAUUGAUUACACCAGAUUUUAUCUUUUCUGGUUUGGGUAAAUCAUAAAUGGGAGCUGAAGAUGCUAAUUCGUCUGCUUUUGAAUCGUCGUAGACUAUUCCACGUAGAAUAUGGUUGCAUCCUAAUGGAAAGCAACUGUUGGCCUGGCCUAUUGAAGAAGUGGAAAGUCUUAGAGGACACAAGGUUCAGUUGAGGAACGAAAAUAUGAAGAAGGGAGACGUUGUUGAGAUCAAAGGAAUAACAGCUGCACAGGUUAGGUUUGCGUAGGAUAUUCGGGUUUCGUUUACGCUGUCGAUCAUACUAUGGAUUAAUAUAUUAUGGCAUCGUUAACCGAACCCUAAGAGCAAAUUACAGGGCUGAUUGAAUGUGCUUUGCUUUGACAUGCACUUGCAGGCUGACGUUGAAGUAGUGUUCUCGUUUCCAAGUUUGGACAAAGCGGAGCGGUUGCACCCUAGUUUGGACCACCUUGAUGCUCAUGAGCUUUGCAGUCGAAAGGGCUCAAGUGUCCAUGGAGGACUGGGGCCGUUUGGUCUUUUAACGCUAGCUUCAGGAAAGCUAGAUGAAUACACUCCAGUCUUCGUUAGGGUAUUUAAGGCCAAGAACAAACACAAGAUUCUGCUUUGCUCUGAUGCUUCAAGGUUGGCUGAUCAGAUCUCAACCAGCUAGCAGCAUUAAAUCUUUGGUUUCUGUCUUUAAAUGGUCGUGCUAAUCUUGCAUGUAGUAUUAAUAUUUACUAUUACCCUUGGUCUUGGCAGCUCCUCCCUAAAGAAAGGGUUGUACAAGCCCUCAUUUGCAGGCUUCUUAGACGUAGAUUUGGCAAAGAAGAAGCUUUCUCUCAGGAGCCUGGUGAAAACUUUCACAUCUCCCUCCGUUUUUUUUCUUUUUUUUUUUAUUAAAACUAAGAAAAAACUUUUAUUCUGUUUUAAAAGAUAUUCGUAAUGAAUGAGAUGUAUUUCUGUUGGCAGAUUGAUCAUUCUGUGGUGGAGAGCUUUGGCGCCGGAGGCGAAGUGUGCAUUACAUCUAGGGUAUAUCCUGCUUUGGCAGUCUCCGACAAUGCCCAUUUGUAUGCAUUCAAUAAUGGCAGCGAGACAGUUGCUAUUGAGACGUUGGACGCUUGGAGCAUGAAGGGACCUAAAUUGAUGAACUAAUCCAAUACGACAUGCAUGGACCUCAUUUUUCCAACUUCAUAUAUUAUGUACUGCCUAAUGUAUUUGACGUACUUUAGCUAGUCAGCGGUUGAUGUUUGUUUGGAUGGACAUUGAAAUUUAUGACUAUAACGAUCGUCUCACGGUCAAUUGCAUUACAUCUAGGGUUUAUCCUACUUUGGCAGUCUCCGACAAUGUCCAUUUGUAUGCAUUCAAUAAUGACAGCAAGACAGUUGCUAUUGAGACGUUGGACGCUUGGAGCAUAAAGGGACCUCAUUUUUCCAACUUCAGAUAUUAUGUACUGCCUACUAUAUAAAGAGCCUAAUAUGUUUGACGUAGUACUUCAUAUACCAUUUUUUGGAUGGACAUUGAACUAUAUGACCAUAACGAUCAUCCCACGUUCGAUUAAUAUUCGGUCGGUAGCAACAGCUAAUUUUGUUCAAAGUUGCCGGGGAAUUCUGAAUUUUCAGUGUUUGCUUUUACCAAGGUCCUUGAUGGACAUUUUAGCCACGAUUAUUCAUGUACUUAAUUUUCAAAGCGUCCAUAGACAAGUAUGAAAUGAAGAAUGAACGUGAGAAAAUUGUUUGAGCCGAAAACGUUCUAGCAAUGCAGGACGUUGUGCAGAUGACGUGAACUGGUUGGGAUCUCUUUCUCCUCCCAUUUUAUUUUUACUUUUCAAGAAGCAAAGAUGAUUUCUUUCUUUUCUCUUCAUUCGGUUUUCCUGUCGUCAGACCCCACGUUUUAUUUUGGCCGAACUCAAGACACCAACCGCGAUUAUUUCCUGGUCAAAAAUAGAAUAAAACAGGUAGUUAAAAAUGGAAAAAGAGAUCAAAACUAUUGGACGCAUACAAAACGGCCGCAGGUUAAUUUCGCAGUUAUUUCUCAAGCAUUCCCAUCCAUAAGUAAUUUUCUGAUCUAUAUAGACGUUGUUCUUGCGGUCAAUUUUUUUCUGAUCUAUAAAUACUCAAAAGUGCACUAAUUAACCAUUCAAAAUCCUAAAAUCUCUCCCAUCUCUCUCUCGUCUGUUUUCUCUCCCAUCUCCCUUUAAAUACCAAACACACUGCCUAUCGAAUAGCAUCAAUUGUUCUUAUUUGUACAUAUAUAUUGUAUCUUUUUUUUGUAAAGAUAGUAUCAACUGUCAAAGUCCAAUGGAGCUCCAUAACAAGUUUCUUUGGGCUUUGCCAGUAUUCAUGUUAUCCUUUUUAAUUUCUUAUAAUGGUGUUGAAGCCUCCCACAAUGUUUAUCUUCAUUAUCAGUCUCUUUCCGCCAUCAAAGUAGAGCAAGUGCAUAGAACCGGCUACCACUUUCAACCCAAGAAGCAUUGGAUUAACGGUAAUUUUCCUCAUAAUUUUUUGUGGUUUGCUACAAUUUUUAACGUUCUCUCUUGGGCAUCAUUACAAGUUUACACACAAUGCAUGCAACCUCACAAUGUCGAUCAUCUUAUAUAUUCUGCUUUAUUGAUAUUCACACUAUUUCAAAAAAAAAAAAAAAAGAGAGAGAACAAGCAAGAAAGCUGAAAGAGUUGACUCUCACCCUUCAAGUAAUUGUUUUGGCUAACAUUAGAAAAUUCACAUACCAUUUAUGCCAUUGAUAUUAUUGUUAAUUUAAGGAAUUUGAAAAGGUUUUAGUGGAUGAUGGAAUAGGAUAGGCAGCCAGAGUCUCAAUCCAAUCCAACAUUCUUGGUUAUGCUGUGCUGGCGUAGACAUUCUGCUCCCAAAACGGUUUCCUGAUAUGGUCAUUCAUUCCAAUUGCUCAAUCUGAUAUAGGGCAGAAAAAUAUUAGAAAAAGCGAAAAAGAAAGUUGAGCGGAACAUGUCAUCCACGACGCCAUUAUCCACAUGUUUAGGAUAAUCCAAAUCCAGCAUAAAGUACCUAAUCAAGACUGCAUUUACAUAUGUAUGAAUGUUUCGUAAAAUACUACUGAAUAAUACAAUCAUGCACGUUUCUUGCUUUUUUUUUGUUGCUUUUUUUUUUUUUAACACUUAGAGAAUUUCUGGGCGUGCCUAGUCCAAUUGGUUUCUUCUACUAACUACUAAUGGGCUGAACCCUUUGUUUACAUGUCCAUGCGGGACCAUAAAAUGACUGGAGGGCAGAUCCAAAUGGUGAGCACUCUCAAAAACCACGCCUUUUUAAAACCUUUCCUUUUUGAUGGUUUAAAAACUAAUUUUCAUCUCAACGCUGAUGACAGGUCCUAUGUAUUAUAAUGGCGUCUACCAUCUUUUCUACCAAUACAAUCCCAAAGGAGCUGUAUGGGGAAACAUUGUCUGGGCCCAUUCAGUGUCGACUGACUUGAUCAACUGGACUCCAUUGGAACCUGCAAUCUUCCCUUCAAAACCCUUUGACAAGUACGGCUGCUGGUCAGGCUCUGCAACAGUUCUUCCAGGCAACAAGCCGGUCAUCCUUUACACCGGUAUCGUGGAUAAGAACAAUACCCAAGUCCAGAACUACGCCGUGCCAGCCAACCUCUCCGAUCCAUAUCUGCGCAAGUGGGUCAAACCCGAUAACAACCCACUGAUCGUCUCCGAAGCCGGCGUGAACAAAACAGCAUUCCGUGACCCAACCACAGCCUGGUUGGGCCGAGAUGGGGAAUGGAGAAUCUUGAUGGGUGGCAGACGGAAGGAUACAGGAAUUGCAUUUUUGUACAAGAGCAGAGACUUCAUGAAGUGGAAAAAGGCUGCAAAUCCCAUCCAUCAGUCUGCUGGGACUGGCAAUUGGGAAUGCCCGGACUUCUACCCUGUAGCCAAAUCAGGAACAAAUGGGUUGGACACUUCUGUAUUGGGACAAAAUGUAAAGCACGCCUUGAAGGUUAGUCUUGAUGCCACGAGAUUUGAGUACUACACCCUUGGUAAAUAUUACCCCGCAGAAGAUAGGUACGUACCCGACAAUACGUCCCCAGAUAACUGGAAAGGGCUGAGAUAUGAUUAUGGCAACUUUUAUGCGUCCAAAUCAUUCUUCGACCCAAGCAAGAACCGGAGGGUUUUGUGGGGUUGGGCUAAUGAGUCCGACGCCGCCAAGGACGAUAUCAAAAAGGGUUGGGCAGGCAUUCAGGUACAUAUUCUAAAUAUUAGUAUUAGAUUUUACUCCAAGAAUCAUUUAUAUAUUGCUGGACUAUAGGUAUUCUUUUAUACCCCGUCCAGUCGAGUAAUACUCGUAUUGAUAAUCUAAUGUUGUUUCACAUAUUUUUGACUAAUUUGUCUUCAAUUGAUCAGUUGAUUCCACGAACAAUCACGCUCGAUCCAAUUGGGAAACAAUUGCUUCAAUGGCCAGUUAAGGAAUUGGAUACUUUGAGGGGGGCACAUGUCCGUCUGAGCAAUCAGCUGCUGAAGAAGGGCGACCUCGUUGGAGUUACAGGAAUAACUCCUGCACAGGUUUGUCCUCAUUUCCCCCCAAAACAACAAGACAUGGGAAAAAAUUAGGUGAAUAUUGGAAUGCAUGAAAUCUUCUACACUGAUUCAUAAAUCCUGUUGCAGGCCGAUGUGGAAGUGACGUUCUCUUUCCGCAGCUUGGACUUGGCAGAGCCAUUUGAUCCAAAAUGGAAAAAACUUGAUGCUCAAGAUGUUUGCAGCAAAAGAGGUUCGUUUGUUCAGGGCGGUCUCGGACCAUUUGGUCUCGUGACGCUUGCCACUGAAGACCUGCAAGAAUACACUCCUGUAUUUUUCAGAAUUUUCAAAGACGCUGGCAAGCAUGUUGUUCUCAUGUGCUCUGACGCUACGAGGUUGGCUAGAUAUUUUACAAGUCAACUUUCUUUAGUUGGCAAAUAAUUCUACUCUCGCUCUUUUUUGACUUCUCUAAAACUAAUGCUUUAAUUAUACAUUGAUUGAACAACUUUCCACUCCCUUAUCGCGUCUCAGGUCAUCCUUAAAGAAGGAGUUGUACAGACCCUCAUUUGCAGGAUUUGUAGAUGUGGAUCUGACUGAUAAAAAGCUGUCUCUUAGGAGCUUGGUAUGGUUGCAGUUCUUUUUCUACCCUUUUACUAUUUGCCUAGUCAGCAGGCCUCCGCCUGCUGUAUAUUGAUUUCCUUUCCAUGAUGUUAUGAUGAAUCAUUCAUUCGUUUGUGGAUUCCUUGUUGGCGCAGAUUGAUCACUCAGUGGUAGAGAGCUUCGGGGCCGGAGGGAAGACCUGCAUUUCAUCCAGGGUUUAUCCAACUAAAGCCGUCUCCGACAAGGCUCAUUUGUAUGCAUUCAACAACGGGACUGAGGCUAUUACAGUAGAGACUUUAGAUGCCUGGAGCAUGAAGACUGCUAAGGUGAAUUAAGAUGCAUGGGAGAGCUCUACAAUCACCAUUUUGGAAUUUUUGUUUUUGCAUAUGCUUUUGGGCUCUUUGACCAGAGCGAGGGAUAACCUAUAUUAAUUGUUUUUUUUUUAUUUUUUUACCUUGUAUUAUCAGCAAAAAUAAAAAUUUACGAUUCGCGUCCAACUAUGAAGUCUAUGUCUUUGUUCUUUGAUUUUCUAGCUUGUACAACCUUUUACAUCCCGAGGAAAUCUUAUCAAUUGUUGAUCAUCUACUCGCUCAUAACUUGAAGAGUAAUGAAAGUAAAACAAAGCAUGAACGCAAUAAAUUAUUUGAAGGGUUGACGUUAUUUUAAUGUUGAUAAGAAAAUCCAUCAGAGAUUGAAAAAAGUUCCUGGUUGGACAUGCAUUGAAGUGGAUAACAAAAUCCAUCAAUUUACUGUUGAGACCAUUCUCAUCCUCAGUCGAAGGAGAUAUACGACAAGCUAAAAUGUUUGUGCAAUAAAUUAGAGCUGGCUGGCUAUGUUCCCCACACGAAUUAUGUGUUCAUUGAUGUUGACGAGGAAUGUAAGCGAGGAAUCUUAUACACACACAGCGAAAAGUUGGCUAUCACAUUUGGUCUCUUUGCGACUCUUUAGGGAAGCCCUAUUAGAAUUACAAAGAACAUAAGGGUUUGUGGUGAUUGUCACACAUUUACUAAAUAUGUUUCAUUAGUGGCAAAUAGGAUAGUUAUAAUGCGAGAUGCAAAUAGAUUUCAUCAUUUUAAGGAGGUGCUUGUUCUUGUGGAGAUUACUGGUGAUUGCUGUUUCCACGUUGGUGGGAUGACUUCUCCGUCACCCUACAUAGAAUACUUUGUUUGUGACCAUACAUGGAUGCAAAAAUGGCGUCUGUUGUGAAAAUUUGAAAUUUGAGGAUUGUAUACAGACUCUUGUGGGACACUCUAUGUACUAACCCUGUUGAAAUUUGAAAUCUGUAGUUAUACUAACCCUGUUUUCACUUUUAAUAUAUUUCUUAACCUUCUCUUUAUAAGCAUGUAAGCAGUCACACAAUCUUUCUUUACUGUUUGCCGGUUAAUCUUUUUAUAAAACGGGGAUUCAACUUUCAUAAAUUUGUUAAAAACAACAUGGUCCAGCAUAGAAAAAGGAUAUUCAUAUACAAGAACCAUAUGAGUUGCUAAGUCUCGGACCUUGGCAUGACCAUAGAAAAAAUUAGUUAUAGAAGUUAUACCAUCCGAGGGUCCUUCAAUGAAGGAUAAGACUUGUUGCCUUUUUCGAUUUUCUUCCCCAAGAGCUAGCUUCUUUUGUAGACAAUUUUUUAGGUGACGCUUGUGUUGAGAAGUGGUUCCAGAUACACUUUUGGCAAACAGUUCUUUGCAGUGAUUGCACUGCAUUUUCAUUGUUCCAUCGGUCUGCUUUACUAUUUUUAUAUCCUUUAAUAUUGUUGACUUCUUUUUCCUUUGUUUUUUUUCAAAUGAUUUUGCUCCUUCAUUCGACUGCUCUAACAUAUCUAGGGAUGGCAACGGGGUGGGGAUGGGGUUGGGGCGGGGGAUUUUAUAUAAUUUUAUUAUGAUUGAAUUUUAGCAAAUAAUCAAGUACUAAAAUAUCAACACAUCAUCAAAUUAUUAUUCAUUGUAAUUUUACAAUUGAAACUUAUAAAAUCAAUCAAAUAAAAAUUAUUUGAAUACAAUCCAACAUGAUGAAAUAAAUAUAACUAAAGUAGUCAAGUUUUCACUUUUGGCACAAAUACAAUCACUAAUUCAUUAUUGUGCUUGUGCUUUUUUUAAGAAAAAAAUGUUAUUGUAUUAAGUGUAAUUAGGGAUUUAGUAUAAAUGUAUUAGUAAAUUUAGUAUAACCAAUUAAUAAUUUGUAUUAGUACACAUAUAUAAUUAUUAGUAUAAUUAAUAAUAUCAAUUAUAUUAUAUAUACUAAUAGACAUUAUAUAAUACAUAUAACUAAUAAUAUCAUUAUCAUAAGUUUGUAACUAAUUAAAUUAUAUAUUAUAUAUAAUUAUAUACAUGUAUAUUUUAUAUAUUUAUUUUUUUAAAGCGGGUGGCGGGGCAGGGUUACACUCCCCCGCCCCGUUUCUAAGUGGGGGGAAAAAAAUUCCCCCCGUCCCAACCCCCUUUCCAUUAGCCCCCCACGGGCACCCGCCCCCAUUGCCAUCCCUAAACAUAUCUAAAUCCAACUUUUCUUCGCUCAACUCAUCAGCAUUUUCCUCCACCUCAAGUUCUUGAUCGGCAACUUCAUUUUCAACCUCCAUAAUAGGACUUAAUGAUGAUUUUUUGAGUGAAUGAAAUAGAGGGCUAUACAUCCAUGUUUUUUGAAAGGGAAAAAACCAAUCAAUUUUACUGUUAGCAUGAUUCAAAAAAGAAAGAAAAAGAAAGCAGAUAAAAACAGGUGUAUAAUUGCACUCAAAUAUGUCAAACAACCUUUCACAAAUAUUGUUAAUAGUGUCAGUAGUUGAGUAUACACUAUAUGAAUUUAAAAUUUAAUUAAUAACUUUGUUUAUGUCUUUCUAUAUCAAUAUUUAAAAACUUAAUUAACAGGUCAUAGCCUUAAAACUUAGAUAAGUUCAUGUGCUCCAAAAUUUGAAAUUCAAAGAAGAAGACAUCAACAAAGACUUCAAUAUCCGUGAAGUCUAACAACAUCCAUGAAGUCUAACAAAAAGAACAUAAAGAAGAACACAACAACAAAAUAUGGUAUAUUGCUAUUGCUACUUAGACACUAAAAAAAAUAUAUCAAGGGUACUACAAAAAUCUAAACUGGUUGACUAAAGCAAAACAUUACCAUAUCAGAAAUUUACUAGUCCAGUAAAGAAAACAUUACAUUAUUAUAUUGGCAAUUACCUUAUUAUUUUUAUAAUAAUUCCAAGUUUGUGUUUUUUUAUUGGCAUUGAAUUUGAUCACUACUAUUAUUCUUGCUUCCUAUGGCUACAUAUAAAAAUCGGGGAUGUUGAGUUUGGCAGAUCUCUCUGUGCCCCAUGUGUUGAGUUUAGGUGGUUGGUGUCAUUUUUGUCUCUCUAGGCGCUAUGUUAAGCAGCUUUCUGCUGCUAAAAGAUUUUCCUCUUUUUUUUCCCCUUUCUUUCCAAGGAAAAAAGUCCCGCACACUACUCUGCGUACACUGCUUAUUUCUGUGGGCUUUGCAGGAUUGCCUUGAGGCAAUCUCUAACGGCUUGUUUAACAAUUAUUCGAGGAAAGCACCAAAGACCCGGGUCAUAUUUUUGGAUUUUCUACAAGGGAUUUUGUUUUUUGAUCCCAAUUUCGACACGUAAAGAGCCUCCUCAUUUGGCGAUGUGUAGGGAGGGGAAAUCACAUAGAAAAGAGAAGAAAGAAGGGGAGCGUUUUUGUUUUUCGAUUUUUGUGGGAGGUGUUGUUAUAGAACAAAAAAAAAAAAAUGUUAAGCAAGAACCAUCCAACCUGAUUCAUUGAAUUUUCGAAAUUCAUCAAGAAUUAAAGCACCUCGCCAACAAAGUAAUAAUAGGUAUUUUUCCUUACCAAAAUUGACGAUGGUUCGGCGAAAUUAGUCAAAUUGGAUUGGUCAGCGGUUACUUGAAUGCUUGCGGUGAUUUUUGCUGGAGGUGACUGGAGCUGGAGGUAACCAAAUAGACUGAGCUAAAGAUGCAGCCGUGACUGGUAAUAGCAGUGAAAAAAUGAAGGCCUUUUUGGUGCAAAAUUUCUAAUAGAUAAGUGGGGUGUGACGGAGAGGUAGAGAGGAGGAGAUGGUGGACUGUGGGGUUGAAGCCGCGAAAUAAACCUCCACUUGGUUGUGACGGAGAGGCAUAGAGGCGAAGCCGCGAAAUCGAAGAAGAAGAGGAAAAAUUAUACAGAGCUGGAGAAGCGAGAAGUGAGAACCCUAAUUAGAUUUGUUAUAUUUUGAUUUAUAAAAUGGCAAAUAUGCCUUUUAUUAACAAGUUUUAACGAGCUACCCAGCUACCAAACGAGUCGAGUAAUUAAACGAGCACAUUUCUAACUCGAGCUCGGCUCGUUUACCACAACUAACGAGUCGAGGUCUAACGAGUUUUUGAGCUACUAGUUAUGUUUAACAGCUCUAUUAAUGCUGUUUCCACCUUGGUGAGGUGAGUUUUCUCCCAUCUGUGUAUCUUACCCUCAUCCAUAGUGCUACAACUAAACAAAUCCAUUAUUAGAAUGCCAUUCUUUGUGAUUAUAUUGCAUGAGAAAUGGUAAUUGGAACAGAAAAUUUGGACAGCUUGUACAGAUCUGAUGGCCUAUUGGAAUUGGCAGUCCAUGUACAGCUUCUGCCACUGCCGAUAAUGCGCAGUUUUGCUACCAUGGAUGCUAGCUUGUUUGACUUUCUCUAUCUUGUGGUCCUUAACUGGCAGGCCUGCUAAUUGAUUUUGAACUGUUGAGCCCAUAUGCGUCUCAACUUCAGUUUGGAUCAGUUUGGCUCCAUACUUUCUUAAUUGUCUUCCAAAAAGCACAAGUUAAAAGCACCAUGUGCUGAUAUCAUCAUCCGACUCCGCUCUACAUGUUUCUUCCACCAACAGAACACACAGUCAGCAUAUCUCUUCAUACCUGCUCUGGACUAUCUUGGCUUAAGCUAUACUAUCUUCCAGGUACACAAGGUUAAUUUUUACUGCUAAAAAAUAUUUGCAAGAGUCUAGUAUCAAAAGCCUGGUUAAGCCUUGCUCAUGUACACUAAUUUCUUAUCAUAGUUGACCUAAUAUUCGCUAUCCUUAAUAGGUCAGUGUCUUUGGAAUCUACAAGGAAUUACUACUCCUGAUUGAAGUGAUAUGUACAGAAGCUUUGGCAUGUUAUUACUCCCCCAAAUAAGCAAAGUUGUAAAAGUCCAUACUCUUUUAAUUGCUGAAUGGACUCAGUGCCUGUAUAUGUGUGCACCGGUAACUCUAAGCAUUAGCUAUGCUGCAUUUGCAAAUGCGGUACACAAUUCACUGGUCUAGUCUUGAUUCUUGAACUAAGAAACAUUUCAACAUUGAACUGAUGAUAUUAAUUAAAUAUAAUAGUAAUUGGCUAUGCUGCACCUUGACUUAGUGGGCUGCAUAAUGCAGCCUAACUUAACUUUUCCUGUACAGUUGAUGCAGUCGCAUUUUCCCUGAACUUCCCGAUACAUGAAAGACUCUGACGUCAAGAGCCCGCAUUCAUUCUUUGGCACCCCCCAGAGUACCAAUUUGUAUUUCAAACAAAAGGCUUUACAUAUCUUGUAAGUAGUGGAAAUUCACAUGUCCCGUUAUUUUGUCCACCAAUUUGCAAAAGUCGCAAUUUGAAGCAUAAACAAAUCCAAGGUAAAAUGAGAAACUGAUGGUGUAGCUAAUAUUUCAAUCUUUUUUAUUGAAAAAAAAUUAAAAAUCCCUCAGCAGUCAGUAAAGACCUUAACCGAAUUUUAAGUUGCUCGAAAGGUCUGAAGUGGGGAGACGUGGCUCGCGAAGGCAAAUCUAUUACUGGGCUCAGAUAUGUUCUAAAUUUUAUGAGAGGCUACGUGGAAAUGAAAGAAAUAAAAAUCGAGGACCAAUUCCAAUGGAAAUCAAGACCAUUUCUGGAUUCAUGUUUCUUCCUGGUCGAGUCUAGAACUUUUCAAUGAAGGGGGAAAAAAAAGAAAAGAUACUAGUACUAAACCCCAAAAACUCGAAGCAAGUCAGUGGAGGAGGUUACAAUGUCGGUUGUGGAACGCUGAAAUGGGCGCUUAAUGUUGUCGUACUCAUUUGUUGUUUGAUCUUUAUGAAAAUGCACCUACCUCACAUCUUUUUCUAACCUGCCCCAGAGGCCCGAAACGUGCAAGAUCAUUACAAGAAUGCGUGUAUGUAGAUAGAUGCAUAUAGGGCAGGUAGUGGGAAACUGGGAAUGUGCCUGAGACAAAUGUGUUUUGAGGCUCUUUUCGACUGCAGAGGGUAGAGUUUCUUCACUUUAGGGAAAAGCCCGUGGAGGACCAUUAUAGUGAUUUCGGUAUUUGUCCAAUCUUUAUCUCCAGACUUGAGAGGUCUCCAAAUGGCUAUGGUGGGUAUCGUUUUUCGGCCUCCAAAUGGCUUGGCUUACCCUUCCAAGAAUGCAUCAUAUAUGUGAAGAUAAAGACCGAAAGAUCCUUUUGUGAUUCGUAGCUGUGGGGGUAUACGCAUUUUAGUGAAGAAACCUGCAGAAAAAAAGAAUUGCAGAUUUCGGACGAAUUCUUCAGAAGGAAAAUGCCAUUUUAGUGAUAAAGGCAUGCAACUUUUGUCAUUUCAACUUCAGUGAAGGGAUCCCUUUCUUCCAUUCAAGAAGAUUAAUUUACAAGCCUUUUGACCUUUUCUGCUCUUCUGCAUAAUUGUGGCAUUCAGCCUUCUAACUUUAGCUCUAGUUUAGCAUAGUCUUUAAAUUUUAAAAAUCAACUAUUUAUUCUGCUUGAUAAUUCAUUUUUCAAUAACAAAGUUUUGACAUAAGAAAUGGUAAAAUUCAUUUAUAGCUUCAAUUAAUUCUUAACCUUCUCUUAGCUUUCGCGACAAGAAUUGAGUUGAAUAGUAAAACGGAAAGGGUUGUAAAAAGAAAUCUCAAAUUCGAGUCAUCUCACUUAUAAAAAAAAAAAAAAAAAAACUUCCCAUAGCUUUAGUCAGAGGACAUUGCAACAUGCUACAUAAAGAGGAGAUGAUACAGUAGUAUUUUUUAGGUGUCAUACUCUCAAGUUAGAUUAUUAUUGGAUUAUGAAAUAAAUGUUUUUUAUUCUUAAAUUUUAAUCAUUUCAAAAAUUUAAAAUAUAAGCCACCAUUACCAUUAAGAGAUACAUAUUAAAGGAAUAAUACCGAAUUUUCCCAUACAAGGAUUUGAACGUUGACCAAUAACCUUCAAUACUGUGUAAGGCAAAUUUACAAAUAAGAUAUUCCCAGUUUAGAUUGUUAUUUUUAAAAGUUUUUUGUAGAAAAAUAUAUUGUAACGAUUUAAUAUAUGUGAAGUAAAAAGGAGAUUGCAAAAUAUAUUCAUAGAAAAUGUAAAAUAUUUUUUGCGAAAAAUUGCAAUCCAACCGGUACUCUAAAAGGUGAAAAUGUUGGGCUAGGCAUUUUCGUUACUCAAGGGUAGCAAAAGUCCUGAAGCACAUGACAUAAGUCCUACAAAUUAUAUUUGUUAUAAUUUAAAAAUUAAUAAAAUGUUACAAAUAUGCAAUAUUGAUUUGAAAAGGUAGAAUACCAACUAACUGUAUAACAUAUAACCAAUAAAAGGAUAGGUAAGCCAAAAAGAAACUCAAAAUUUGUUUUGAAAUUCAGAAAUGUUAGUGUUGGAUUGUGAUUUCAAAGAGUAUGAAACGAUGAUUAUAUUUUUCAACUAUGGAAAAUAACAUAGCGUGCCUACGGGUAAUAAAAACAAAGCACUAAAGAACUCAAUUCCUAUAGAUUUCAAACCUGAAAACUUAUACUUCAAAGUUACAAAUUUCUUCCACUUGCACGAAUAGCUGUUAGUACAAAGUGUUUGCUUUUACCAGGGUCCUUGAUGGACAUUUUAGCCACGAUUAUUCAUGUACUUAAUUUUCAAAGCGUCCAUAGAGAAGUAUGAAAUGAAGAAUGAACGUGAGAAAAUUGCUGGAGCCGAAAAAGUUCUAACAAUGCAGGACGUUGUGCAGAUGACGUGAACUGGUUGGGAUCUCUUUCUCCUCCCAUUUUAUUUUUGCUUUUCAAGAAGCAAAGAUGAUUUCUUUCUUUUCUCUUCAUUCGGUUUUCCUGUCGUCAGACCCCACGUUUUAUUUUGGCCGAACUCAAGACACCAACCGCGAUUAUUUCCUGGUCAAAAAUAGAAUAAAACAGGUAGUUAAAAAUGGAAAAAGAGAUCAAAACUAUUGGACGCUUACAAAACGGCCGCAGGUUAAUUUCGCAGUUAUUUCUCAAUCAUUCCCAUCCAUAAGUAAUUUUCUGAUCUAUAUAGAUGAUGUUCUUGCGGUCAAUUUUUUUCUGAUCUAUAAAUACUCAAAAGUGCACUAAUUAACCAUUCAAAAUCCUAAAAUCUCUCCCAUCUCUCUCUCGUCUGUUUUCUCUCCCAUCUCCCUUUAAAUACCAAACACACUGCCUAUCGAAUAGCAUCAAUUGUUCUUAUUUGUACAUAUAUAUUGUAUCUUUUUUUUGUAAAGAUAGUAUCAACUGUCAAAGUCCAAUGGAGCUCCAUAACAAGUUUCUUUGGGCUUUGCCAGUAUUCAUGUUAUCCUUUUUAAUUUCUUAUAAUGGUGUUGAAGCCUCCCACAAUGUUUAUCUUCAUUAUCAGUCUCUUUCCGCCAUCAAAGUAGAGCAAGUGCAUAGAACCGGCUACCACUUUCAACCCAAGAAGCAUUGGAUUAACGGUAAUUUUCCUCAUAAUUUUUUGUGGUUUGCUACAAUUUUUAACGUUCUCUCUUGGGCAUCAUUACAAGUUUACACACAAUGCAUGCAACCUCACAAUGUCGAUCAUCUUAUAUAUUCUGCUUUAUUGAUAUUCACACUAUUUCAAAAAAAAAAAAAAAAGAGAGAGAACAAGCAAGAAAGCUGAAAGAGUUGACUCUCACCCUUCAAGUAAUUGUUUUGGCUAACAUUAGAAAAUUCACAUACCAUUUAUGCCAUUGAUAUUAUUGUUAAUUUAAGGAAUUUGAAAAGGUUUUAGUGGAUGAUGGAAUAGGAUAGGCAGCCAGAGUCUCAAUCCAAUCCAACAUUCUUGGUUAUGCUGUGCUGGCGUAGACAUUCUGCUCCCAAAACGGUUUCCUGAUAUGGUCAUUCAUUCCAAUUGCUCAAUCUGAUAUAGGGCAGAAAAAUAUUAGAAAAAGCGAAAAAGAAAGUUGAGCGGAACAUGUCAUCCACGACGCCAUUAUCCACAUGUUUAGGAUAAUCCAAAUCCAGCAUAAAGUACCUAAUCAAGACUGCAUUUACAUAUGUAUGAAUGUUUCGUAAAAUACUACUGAAUAAUACAAUCAUGCACGUUUCUUGCUUUUUUUUUGUUGCUUUUUUUUUUUUUAACACUUAGAGAAUUUCUGGGCGUGCCUAGUCCAAUUGGUUUCUUCUACUAACUACUAAUGGGCUGAACCCUUUGUUUACAUGUCCAUGCGGGACCAUAAAAUGACUGGAGGGCAGAUCCAAAUGGUGAGCACUCUCAAAAACCACGCCUUUUUAAAACCUUUCCUUUUUGAUGGUUUAAAAACUAAUUUUCAUCUCAACGCUGAUGACAGGUCCUAUGUAUUAUAAUGGCGUCUACCAUCUUUUCUACCAAUACAAUCCCAAAGGAGCUGUAUGGGGAAACAUUGUCUGGGCCCAUUCAGUGUCGACUGACUUGAUCAACUGGACUCCAUUGGAACCUGCAAUCUUCCCUUCAAAACCCUUUGACAAGUACGGCUGCUGGUCAGGCUCUGCAACAGUUCUUCCAGGCAACAAGCCGGUCAUCCUUUACACCGGUAUCGUGGAUAAGAACAAUACCCAAGUCCAGAACUACGCCGUGCCAGCCAACCUCUCCGAUCCAUAUCUGCGCAAGUGGGUCAAACCCGAUAACAACCCACUGAUCGUCUCCGAAGCCGGCGUGAACAAAACAGCAUUCCGUGACCCAACCACAGCCUGGUUGGGCCGAGAUGGGGAAUGGAGAAUCUUGAUAGGUGGUAGACGGAAGGAUACAGGAAUUGCAUUUUUGUACAAGAGCAGAGACUUCAUGAAGUGGAAAAAGGCUGCAAAUCCCAUCCAUCAGUCUGCUGGGACUGGCAAUUGGGAAUGCCCGGACUUCUACCCUGUAGCCAAAUCAGGAACAAAUGGGUUGGACACUUCUGUAUUGGGACAAAAUGUAAAGCACGUCUUGAAGGUUAGUCUUGAUGCCACAAGAUUUGAGUACUACACCCUUGGUAAAUAUUACCCCGCAGAAGAUAGGUACGUUCCCGACAAUACAUCCCCAGAUAACUGGAAGGGGCUGAGAUAUGAUUAUGGCAACUUUUAUGCUUCCAAAUCAUUCUUUGACCCAAGCAAGAACCGGAGGAUUUUGUGGGGUUGGGCUAAUGAGUCUGACACCGCCAAGGACGAUAUCAAAAAGGGUUGGGCAGGCAUUCAGGUACAUAUUCUAAAUAUUAGUGUUAGAUUUUACUCCAAGAAUCAUUUAUAUAUUGCUGGACUAUAGGUAUUCUUUUAUACCCCGUCCAGUCGAGUAAUACUCGUGUUGAUGAUCUAAUGUUGUUUCAUAUAUUUUUAACUAAUUUGUCUUCAAUUGAUCAGUUGAUUCCACGAACAAUCACGCUCGAUCCAAAUGGGAAACAAUUGCUGCAAUGGCCAGUUAAGGAAUUGGAUACUUUGAGAGGGGCACAUGUCCGUCUGAGCAAUCAGCUGCUGAAGAAGGGCGACCGCGUUGAAGUUACAGGAAUAACUCCUGCACAGGCCGAUGUGGAAGUGACGUUCUCUUUCCGCAGCUUGGACUUGGCAGAGCCAUUUGAUCCAAAAUGGAGAAAACUUGAUGCUCAAGAUGUUUGCAGCAAAAGAGGUUCGUUUGUUCGGGGCGGUCUCGGACCAUUUGGUCUCGCGACGCUUGCCACUGAAGACCUGCAAGAAUACACUCCUGUAAUUUUCAGAAUUUUCAAAGACGCUGGCAAGCAUGUUGUUCUCAUGUGCUCUGACGCUACGAGGUUGGCUAGAUAUUUUACAAGUCAACUUUCUUUAGUUGGCAAAUAAUUCUACUCUCUCUCUUUUUUGACUUCUCUAAAACUAAUGCUUUAAUUAUACAUUGAUUGAACAACUUUCCACUCCCUUAUCGCGUCUCAGGUCAUCCUUAAAGAAGGAGUUGUACAGACCCUCAUUUGCAGGAUUUGUAGAUGUGGAUUUGACUGAUAAAAAGCUGUCUCUUAGGAGCUUGGUAUGGUUGCAGUUCUUUUUCUACCCUUUUACUAUUUGCCUAGUCAGCAGGCCUCCGCCUCCUGUAUAUUGAUUUCCUUUCCAUGAUGUUAUGAUGAAUCAUUCAUUCGUUUGUGGAUUCCUUGUUGGCGCAGAUUGAUCACUCAGUGGUAGAGAGCUUCGGGGCCGGAGGGAAGACCUGCAUUUCAUCCAGGGUUUAUCCAACUAAAGCCGUCUUCGACAAGGCUCAUUUGUAUGCAUUCAACAACGGGACUGAGGCUAUUACAGUACAGACUUUAGAUGCCUGGAGCAUGAAGAGUGCUAAGGUGAAUUAAGAUGCAUGGGAGAGCUCUACAAUCACCGUUUUGGAAUUUUUGUUUUUGCAUAUUCUUUUUGGCUCUUUGACCAGAGCGAGGGAUAACCUAUAUUAAUUGUUUUUAUUUUUAUUUUUUUACCUUGUAUUAUCAGCAAAAAUAAAAAUUUACGAUUCGGGUCCAACAAUGAAGUCUAUAUCUUCGUUCUUUGAUUUUCUAGCUUGUACAACCUUUUACAUCCCGGGAAAAUCUUAUCAAUUGCUGAUCAUCUACUCGCUCAUAACUGGAAGAAUAAUUAAAGUAAAACAAAGCAUGAACGCAAUAAAUUCUUUGAAGGGUUGAUGUUCGUUUGAUUCAAGGGAAUUUUUAAAACUUCUAAAGGAAAGGGUGCUUGACCGUCGGAUCAGAAGUUCUGAAUUACGAACCAGCACAUCAUUUUUGCUAAUGGAUAAACAAGCGCUUCAUUUUAUUUUUUUUUAGGAGUAGCAAAAAUAUCUAUGUGGAAAACCUGCUUACUCCAUUGAUUUGACAAAAUCUAGUUGCAUUUUUUCUUCUCAACAAAAGCAAGUAGGUCGGUGAAACAUUCCGGCCCGGCACUGGUUGGCUUCGCUACCUGCAUUCCAUCUGUACCCGACUCGGCAUAUCUAACUUCUGACCUCGUAAACAGCACAUGCCAUUUUCCAAAUCCAGCAGCAAAUGUAUAGCCAAAUCUUUGGGAUUUUGACUCCUAUUUUUUUGCUAUAGUUUUUGACUUUUGACUUUUGAAGUCCAAGAUGCAAAUUUUCUCUGGUUGGCGGCUACCUUCUCGAUUGCUCGCUAUGAAUUAUCCAAAACAUCUUUUAUUCCAGGAAUAAUAAGUAGUUAAGUACUUUUCCCACUUAUUAUGAAAAAAUAUACUUCCAUCGGUGCAGCAAAUGUAGAUACUACUUUGUUUCUAGUUCCAAUGUUCCAUGUAAUAUUAUUAUAGAUAUUAUUAUUAUCUGGCAAGAUUCUCAUAAGCUAAAUUAAUCCUUCCUCGGGAUUAGAGAGAUGGAGGUUUUUAUUAGUACAUUAAUCAUUCAAAUUAAAGUAUUUUAAAGGAGGAAAAAAACAACACAGUAGAGGAAAGUGAAAUUGCUCAAAGAAUAAAAUACAAGAAAAAAAAAACAGUGAAGAUACAACAAAUGUUUUUAUAGGUUAUAGCUGAUUGCAAUUUCCAAAAGUUAAAGAAAAAGUCGUUGAAACAAGGAAAGAUAAAAUUACUACCAAAAAGAUUUUGAACAAAUCAGUUAGCACGUUUCCGGAACAAACACGGUCUAAUUUUCAAAGUUAUCCAAUAACCAAUCCUAUCCCUAAUAAACUUCUGUUAAUUCUAUAAAUACAGAGGAUUUUAACCAUUGACUACUCCAACAUUUCUCUCUCUCCCUCUCUCUCUCUCUUUUUUUUUUUUGCAAAAAAAAAAAAUCACGUACGUCUCACGUCCUUCUUUCCUUGCGCUUGCUAAAUUGCAAUAGCCGGCCAAUUUCUGCGACCGCCGAAAAACAUAUAGUUGUUGCGGAUUUGUGUUGAUUCUUAGACAAGUUCCAGCGCUGUUCUGCAAGUAAGGCCAAUGGGGCAGUUUUGCAGUGAAAAGAUUUUAUGGGUUUUGGCACUAGUUUUCACUUGCGUUUUGGUUUCCAUUAAUGGCGUCGAAGCCUCGCACAAGGUUUAUCCUGAUUACCAGUCUCUUACGGCUUCAAACGUUGGGCGUCUGCACAGAACCGCUUACCACUUUCAACCCAAGCGGCAUUGGAUUAACGGUACGUUUUGCACUCUCCUUCCUUCCAUACCUUUGUUCUCAACUGAUAGAUUUAAUUUGAGAUUUUUUUUUUGGGUCCAAAAAUGUCGAAAAUUUUUGGAUUUUGGUUCUGAGUGAUCACUAACUGCCCGCGUUUUAUAGUCUUUCUAUUCUCUUUCCAUUCUCAACUUAUUUCUAGAUUCAUCGUCUAUGUAUCUCUUGUUUUCUGCGUCCACCAUUUAAUCUUCGUGAAAAAAAAUAAUUAAUUAGAUUAAGAAAUCAUUUAAUCAGAAAAAAAAUUCAUUUAUAUUUCAUUGAUAUAGCAUAUACAAGGCUAAUAUAUCGUCAUCUUUUUGUCAAAAUCUAUUCUUCAAACUCUUUUCAAGAACACCUAUUCAUUUAUUUAAAAUGCCUUUUUUAAAGAAAUCAAUUUUACAGAGUCAGCUUUUACAAAAUGGUUAAUUUUUUUUUUUUUUUGAGUAUUCGUUUAAAAAAAAUGUACAAUGUUUUACAUGUUUCCUCCAGAUUGAUGUAGAAAAUCUGGGAAGCUGGUACACUAGUUAUGCUCAUCAGAUAGGUUUAGUACUUCAAAAUAGACUACAUAUAAGCACAAAAGAUGACAGAUUUUUUAAUUGAAAGAUAAUCUGAGUUGUAAGUUAAUGAUGCUCUCAAAGAUAGAGAACACGGCAUGAGUUUCGGCAGUGGUGUGGAAAAUUCGAUAUGAUGCUUCAGAGGAAGACGUCUGGUUUAUGAAUUAUGACCUUCUGCCGGCGGCGAUCUCAAUUUAUAAAAGCAAUUGAAUGCUCCCUUCCCUUAUGGAUUUAUUUCCAUUCUGUGCAUGCAUGCAUCAGAAAGAUGGCGUAACAUUUAUUUAUUUAUUUAUUUUACAGUUCCCCUUAUUUUGUACAUGCAACUGCAAACGUAUAAACUCUUGUACUCUACUAUGUAUAUUUUAUUUACUUCAAAAAAAAAAAUACUAGUAACUCUUCCCUUACUUUAAACAAAAUUUGUUUUCUUCCUAUAAAAACAAUAAUAUCUUUUCUUUUUCUCCGUAUUCUUCUGAGACGUUGUUGAAUCAUGAAUGUUACGCCUGUUACAGGUUCAAAGUUUUAUCCAUUUCGGAAUAUGAGUAGAAGUAUAUUAUUAUUUCAUAAUCCACUCCAAGAUUCUUGGCGCUUCUGACGGCUUCCACGUAGAAAAUAUUACCCGGCCCGAAUGAUGAAAAUAUGCUGCAAUGGAAUGAGCUUAAAUCGCUUGAGGAUAGCAAUUCCUAAUAUGGACCCAAUUAUUAAUAUUGAAAAUGCUAAAUUAAUUCCAUGAUCACCUUACGACAAAACUACGUUACCUGUGUUGGUGUUCUUUUUUGGUUGCUCGGAACUAUUUUGUGAGUUUUCUUGCUUCUUUUUUUUUUUUGCUAAUAAUUAUCUCACCUUUUUUGCUUUGCCUUGCAUGUUGCCGUGGGACUCUAAAACAAAUCUUGCUGGACAGAUCCGAAUGGUGGGCAAUGACGCUUUUAAGCUUCUUAACAGUUGAUGUAUUCUCAUAUGAAAUUAGUUAUUGCCUUCCUUAAUUUAUUUAUUUACAGCGUCUAACUAAUUAGUAAUUACAGGACCAAUGUAUUACAACGGUGUUUAUCAUCUAUUCUACCAGUACAAUCCAAAAGGUGCUGUGUGGGGCAACAUUGUUUGGGCCCAUUCAGUAUCUACUGACCUGAUCAACUGGACCCCGUUAGACCCCACCAUCUUCCCAUCGAAACCCUUUGACAAGUACGGCUGCUGGUCCGGGUCCGCAACUGUCCUUCCGGGGAAUAGGCCCGUAAUCCUCUACACUGGCAUAGUAGACCAGAACAAUACCCAAGUCCAGAACUACGCCGUGCCAGCCAACCUCUCUGAUCCGUACCUUCGAGAGUGGGUCAAGCCCGACAACAACCCCUUAAUCGUUCCCCAAGCCGGAGAAAACAAAACGGCUUUCCGUGACCCAACAACCGCUUGGUUGGGCCGGGAUGGCCGCUGGAGAAUCCUGCUGGGCGGUAAGAGGAAGCAUCGGGGAGUGGCAUUUCUGUAUAGGAGCAGAGACUUCUUGAGAUGGACCAAGGCAAAGCAUCCAUUGCACACCGCUGCGGGAACUGGAAAUUGGGAAUGUCCUGAUUUCUACCCUGUCCCAAAGCAAGGAUCAAAUGGGUUGGACACGUCCGUGCUGGGCCCAAAUGUUAAGCACGUCUUAAAGGUUAGCCUUGACGUUACUAGGUAUGAGUACUACACCCUCGGAAGUUAUGACACCGAUAAAGACAGGUACAUUCCGGAUGAUACAUCGCGGGAUGGUUGGAACGGUUUGAGAUAUGAUUAUGGCAACUUUUAUGCUUCUAAAUCGUUCUUCGAUCAUAGCAAGAAUCGGAGGAUUUUGUGGGGUUGGGCCAAUGAGUCGGACACUGCUUAUGAUGAUAUGACGAAGGGAUGGGCCGGCAUUCAGGUACUACCCAAAUUUCUAAGACUCCUCUUUUUUUUUUUUUUCAAGCAGUUUCUAAGACUCCUAAUUCUGUGGUUGUCGAACGAUUCCGCUGGGCAUUUUUUCAGUUGAUCCCGCGAGUAAUUACGCUGGACCCCAAUGGCAAACAACUGUUGCAGUGGCCAAUUCCAGAAUUGGAAAGUUUGAGGGGGGAAAAUGUCCAUUUAAGCGGUCAGGUGCUUAAAAAAGGCGACGUUGUUGAAGUGACGGGAAUAACUGCAGCCCAGGUUCGUGCCCGGGGUAAAUAUACUCUUAAUACUGCUGCAUUUGAUUUGAGCGUAAAUAAUGCAUGGCAGAAAGAGGGAAGUAUUUAGUAUUUAGUGAGCGGACCAUUCAUAUUGCAGGCCGACGUGGAAGUGACAUUCUCCUUCGCCGCCUCUAGCUUGGACCUGGCAGAACAGUUUGACCCGGCGUGGAAAACGCUUGAUGCUCAGGACGUCUGCGGCCGGAGAGGCUCAACCGUUGAAGGUGGGCUUGGUCCAUUUGGUCUCCUGACGCUCGCCUCCGAAAACCUGGAAGAGUACACUCCCGUGUUCUUCAGAGUUUUUAAAGCCGGAUACCAGCAUGUGGUUCUCAUGUGCUCUGAUGCUCGAAGGUUUGUUUCCUUUUAGUUACAACACCAUCAAAUCUAUUAGUAAUAAUAUUAUUAUUCGCUUCAGUUGUUGUGCUUUUCUCGUCAACAUUCAUUUGUUUAACCUCAUUCCGUCUCGUCCUCUGCGUUUCAGUUCUUCUUUAAUGGAUGGGCUGUACACGCCUUCAUUUGCGGGAUUUGUAGAUGUAGAUUUGACCGAUAAGAAGCUUUCCCUCAGGAGUUUGGUACGGCUGAUUGAUCGAUCAUUUUUGCUAAGACUGGCAGGUAUUCUGUAGUUAAAUCAUUUUUGCUUAUUCCUUUUUUUUUUUUUUUCUGGCAGAUUGAUCAUUCAGUUGUAGAGAGUUUUGGGGCCAGAGGGAAGACGUGCAUUUCAUCCAGGGUUUAUCCAACCUUAGCCGUUUCCGACAAGGCUCACUUAUACGUAUUCAAUAAUGGCACUGAGGCUGUUAAAAUUGAGACUUUAGAUGCUUGGAGCAUGAAUAGGCCUAGGAUGAACUAAAUUUAAGUACCAACAUGUUUAUCUUUUUUUGCAUUGGAACACGACAAGGAUACCUUACCUUGUUCGCGUGGUUUGGUUUGAAUUAUAUAUUCUCGGUGACGUUUCUUAUUUGCAAAAGAGGAGUAUGAGUUGUUGUAUUAGUGGAAAAUAGUGGCAGUACUAGUCAGAAGAAAAAUGGCUAUUAUCAAAGAAGAACACUAAUUAAUGGGCGAAUUGAUAAAGAAGCCUUUGACAAAGUGAAAACUAUGCCAGUGGAAGGCACUUGGGAUCCUCAGUGACAUAUUUUCUAUGCUGAGAAGACAGUAUCAUAUUUUCUGUGCUGAUUGAUCAACGAAACAGACCUUUGCUUUCUGAUUCGGGUCUCCACAAAUUACUUACUAAUGAUACUGUCUUCUCAGCACUCAAGGAUAGCGCUGCGAUGGGAUAUUUGGCUCCUGAGUACAGUCCUACUGGCCGGUUUACAGAGAAAAGUGAUAUUUAUGCAUUUGGGGUACUUUUGUUUCAAAUCCUUUCUGGGUUCGAAAAGUAACCAGCACAAUGCAAGCUACUGCUGACUUAGGAAAAACUCAGGACUUCAUGGAUAGAAAUCUCCAUGGAAAGUUCUCUGAACCUGAAGCCAUCAUCCCAGAUUCUGUGCAUAAUUGGACUUCUUUGUUUCCAAAUAUUUAUUAUGUUAUUCCUUGUCUCCACUGCCGAUUGUCUCUUUUUGGCUUUGUUCAAAGCAAUCACCGAUGAAAGAGUUUGGAGGCAAUUUUGUUUAGGUUUUCUUUUUCUUUUUCCCCAAUGCAACAGAUCGUGAGUGGUUAUGGUAUUUGAAUUAGACCAGUCGGUUAAUUUUGGUUCAAAGUUUUAGAGGGUAGAGAAAAUUUGUGUUAAACCAAAUCAAUUUGAAUUAUUAAAAAAUUAAAGUGUAAAUAAUAACAGGACACUUGGCGACAUAUUAGAGGUGGCAUUGGAUUGGCAUAGAAAAUAUGUCAGCGAGGAUCCCAAGUGAAUGGAAGGUGGGUAGACGCGACCUACAAUGACAUUUAUACUUUGUUUAACAUUCGGUUGAACUCAAACCUUGUCGUCCAUAUAAUACACGUGAACACGAGACAUUUGCCUCCAUAGUGGAACGGUGCGCCCUCAAUAAUGUCUUUACCAAAAUAGUGAAUAAUCACUUGCUGAUUGUCACGUGCCUUCCACUAAUACACGUAGUGGGUACCACACUGCAGACCGCAGGAUGAAUUGCCGAAUGGAAAGUUUUAGCAAUUAAAGUAUUAAACCCACCCCCGACCGACGUUUUCAUUUCUUCCACAGAAUUCCCCACAACAGCACAAAUCAAGUUAAUUAGCAAACUACCAUGGCAGCAGCUGUGACGACUACCAGCAGUGACCGAAUGGAGCAGCUGAAGGAAUUUGACGAGUCCAAAAUGGGAGUAAAGGGUCUAUCCGACUCGGGUAUCUCCACCAUCCCAAGUAUCUUUCUACAUCCCCCGGAAACCCUCUCGGACCUCAAAUCUUCUACAACAUCCUGCGGCACAGGAAUCCCUGUCGUCGAUUUAUCAAACCUUCAUUCUGAUUUCCACAGACCAAAGAUCGUAGAACAAAUCCGUGAAGCCGCAAGUAGCUGGGGUUUCUUCCAAGUAGUCAACCACGGGGUCCCUGUCUCAGUACUUGACGAGACAAUCGCUGCCAUUAAAGCAUUCCACGAGCAGCCCGGAGAAGAAAAAGCUAAGUAUUAUAAGCGAGAUCAAGAAGGCCAUGGCGUGAUGUACUCGAGCAACAACGACCUGUACCGUUCGCAAGCUGCAUGUUGGCAUGAUUCGCUACAGUUGUGGAUGUCUCCUCAGCCCCCGAAAGCGGAGGACAUACCGGAGGUCUGUAGGAGGCAGGUGGUGGAGUGGGACGUGCACGCAAAGAAGGUGGCUGAUACAGUGAUGGAGUUGUUGAGUUUAGGGUUGGGAUUGGAAGCCGGCAAGUUCAAGGAGUUGACAUUUUCGGAUGCUAGGGCGGUUGUAGGGAUUAUAUACCCUCCCUGUCCCCAGCCGGAUCUAACCAUGGGGAUUACCUCGCACACGGAUCCUGGUAUCAUCACUGUUUUGCUGCAGAAUCAGGUUCCUGGCUUGCAAGUGAAGCAUGGGGAUGCCUGGGUUGAUGUGAAGCCCUUGCCAGGAGGGCUGAUAAUUAACAUGGGAGAUUUUCUUCAGGUAAGAAAACUAGUACUGUACUACUUUUUUUUAUAAAGCAAAAAAAAAAAAAAAAAAAAAAAUUCACACAACGUUUUAUUUUAUUAUUUUUUUUUUUUUUGUGUUUUUGGGGCGGGAGAAACGUUUUGAAUUUCUAUAAGCAGAUUUAUGCAGGUCGCUUACUGAUAAACUAGGAAAGAAUAGAAGUGAUUAAACCCCACAAGUGUUAAACUUAUUUAGAAUUCAUAUUUUUCUGGGGAAUCAAGAAAUUCUUUCAAAUUAAUUGAUAAUAAGAAUUUAUGCACGGAAAGUCAGUAGUCAAACGUCCUGCUCGAUAUCCUAGUUAGUAUAUACUAUAUAGAGAUGAUACAGUUUAAAAGGUCACAUAGUAGACACGUCAGUCAUGCAUACUGGGAAAACAAAUGUAGUACUGGUUGAUGUCCAAAACUUAUCGCUUGAAAAUAUAUUAUUGUACGACAAGUUAAACAAAAAAAGAUAGCUGCAGGUGAUUGAUGGUACAACAAAUUAGCGCAUGUUCUGGAGUUAUUAAGCACUUGGGACAUAUAAAUGAUAGCGAUAUCCUUCCUACUCUACUCUUUUUCGGCACGAUUUUUACCAGAUAGUCUCAAAUGGCGAAUAUAGAAGCGUGCAACACCGAGUGUUGGCAAAUGCCUCCAACGAGCACCGCAUCUCCAUCGUUACAUUUUUCAACCUGACGAAAUGGAGAGAACUCGGCACAUAUGGACCCCUGCCGGAGUUGCUGUCGCCUGACAAACCAGCCUUGUAUCGAGAUUUCACCCUGCAACAGUUCUAUGACAACUUUUACAGCAAAGGAUUGGAUAGCAAAUCUCUGAUUGAAAGAAUUAAAAUUACCACCUGCAGCUAAUGCCUUGUAACCCAGUGGCGAAGGUCAAAAAAAAGGAUGUGGAGACGGCGCUUCAAUUUCAGGUGAUAUGCUGUCCGUCCAGUGCCAAAAGUCAGUCGUGUUUUAGUAAUAUAUUCAAAUACGCAGCAAUUUUCCUGUAAUGAUUUCAAAUUUCAAAGUCGUGGGAUCGUGCAGGAAAUCCUUUCGUUGUUAUAUGGAUAUGAAUGUAUGCGUGAAAUUGAGGUCAAGAAAUAAAGUAGUACUACUAUUAAUUUCGUAAAGCACUGUACGUGAAUGGGCUCGAUUUGCUUCUCUAAUUCUACAUUUUGUGAUAGAUUUUCUUGUAAUAAUCCAAGUUAAAAAAAUCCCAGUUGAUAAUUAGUUCCGUUCAGCAAUUGAACUUCUUGAAUGUCAGACAUUAUUAUCUCCUCAGUUUGGUGCCAAGUGCCAACCUUGUGGCGGCGGUAAAGGACACCAACCCGAAAUGUCCCGAAUGAAAAAGUCCUUUCAUUUAGAAUAAAUGUCUUUUCGGUCACAAUAACAUGAUGGAAAGAAAAACUUUCAUUCCAAUAUUUUCAGAGCGGGUGGAACAUUUUCAUCAAGGAUAAGCCAAAAUCUUUCGUUUCGGUGGGUUUUAGGUCGUCUUUUUCGAGGAUUUUUCUCCAUCAAGGAUUUGGUGGGUUAUAAAAGUCUAAAUGAUUUUGUGUUGCUUUCAUGGAUUUUUCCUCGUCUUCUUCCCAAACAUGAGAUUGUGGCUGGCCAAUUGUAUCUUUUCCCUUUUUCCCCCAUGACUGAUUUGUAGACCAUCAAAGUCGACUAUCUCUAUCUGCGAAUAAAUUUCACAUCGAAUCAACCACACGGACCCAACAAUCGGGAUACAAAGUUGGCAUGAAAAUCUUCAGAACAAGCCAUACAGCUCUUGAAUGUGGCACAAUCUCCAAGCUUUGUAUCAUAAAAGGCACAGAAACAUAGGACGCUUGCAAAAUCUUCAGCAGAAAAGCCAUCUACAAAAAUCACGGACAUCAAGCUCUCCGGAAAUCAAUCUCCGACGGUAGAUAGAUUAUAUAAUACAGUUGUUCACCAGAAAAGCCACUAAAAGCAAACUAUACAAUUUUCGAUACCACUUCAAAUGACCAGCAUUUUCAAUACCACAUUUAGUUGCAACGUGACAGCAAUUAGCACAACGAUAACAUUUUAAAGCAAAUGAACCAUCUACCACCCACGAAAAUCAACUGCAAGUGAAUCAACUGCAAGCUGACAAAGUUAAAAGAGUGGCAAUAAAUGUAGGGACCUACAGAGCCCCCCUUGCCACUCUAAUAGCAAACGGGGCAACAAUAUAAAAGUCCCAUCCUUAAAAGACUAAUUUCGAGUUUCUAAAAGCAUCAACAUCAACAAGCUAAAAAAGAAGGCAGAAGCAAGGGGAAGGCAGGGAACCCUCCCAGCAGGAAAAAGGGUACGUGGCUAGCUUCUACAUCCUGCUUUACAUGUUCUCGGAUGCUGCUUCCUCUGGAAUUCUUGGUUGAACUUCCAACACACCAAAUAUGAAAAUCAUUAUGGUUACAGUCAAUGAAACAAAGGACGAAAGGACAUGAUCCAGAGACCUAAGGAUUUAAUUUGCCACCCAUUUCCAGAUUAAUUUCUGCUUCGUGUAUAUUAUCAAAUUACAGAAUGCAAAACUGAAGAACCACUAGCUGAAAAUAGAUUGUUACUCCUUGAACCUGACAAAAAAUGAGACCUUGUGCAACAAUCCCUUGAUUAAUGCCUUUAACCAAGAAGACAAACAUUUCAUUCAUAAGAAAGCUCAAAGAUGACUUCAACGAAAAAAAUACAAUUUUAUCCAACUUACCACUUGAAUUUCUUCACAUGGAGUAAGCUACACUCUAACAGACACUAUCGAGUACGACAACAGACCACUAUCAGACAUCCUCUAUCUCAAAAUUCAGGCCACACUCACAUGCACAGGGUCUAGAGACAGCAGCAAGUGCAUAUAGCAAUAAAAGAAUGAGCCGAUCAGAAUUUGAUACAGCGAUUGGAGGGUGAUGCAGCUAGAACAGUUGCACGAUUCAACUCCAAUGGAUCCUUCCACUGUUGCAUGAAAUGGCAGCACAUAGACAGACUGCCAAGUGUUGUGGGAUGCUCGGACCAUUUAGUAGGUAUUUUCCACCCAGAAAGUGCUGCUGAUCAAAUAUUACUAACAAAAACAUUCAAAUAAUUACUGAUAUGUCAUGCACACAAGCACAUGAUGAUGCUAACUUGUACUUCCAAAAUUGUUAUCCAAGCACAUGUUAAUAACAGUAUGUGAUUUACUGAAGUUUAGCAUGCACCCGUAUAUAUAAAACUCAAGUAGGUAGCUUCUAGGUUCAACGACAAAUAAAAUUUCUUUUUCUGUGGGGUAUAUUGAUUGUUUAUAUUUCCACUUGAUGGAAAAGCAGGAAAGCUUUCCAUGCGAAAAAACCUCAAAGCUUGACAAAAAAUGCAACUAAGUUAUAGAUGCAAGUUCAGGAGUCACAAUCUGAAGAAGGCCCUUUGGAUUAUCCACAUGAACCCAGUGCCCUGAUUUGGAAAGAACAUGAUAAGAGACUUUCCCAUCAGCUUCAUCAACUCUUUUGGCAGCAAGCCUUUGAAUGCGCUGAAUGGUGUCUUGCGUCCAUCUGUCACUGUUCUCAGCCCGGACGAUUGCUAUCUCCAUCCCUUUGGGAGGUUCGUCCAACAGAGACCAAUAAUCUGUUUCCCUGAUGAAAUUUUAUUUAUUCAACAAUGAGUUCCACUUACAACUGGUAACUCUUUCUUCUUAUUUUCCCCCUCCCGGAUCGAUAAAUGUACAAAAAAACAUAUUUUCUUCUUACUUUUCAGAUUAUGAAAUUUUUGUUCCUAGAUUUUUCUUUGGCAGCGGUCAGACAGUGAGCAAUAAUUUUCAUCCUAUAAUCAUAACAAGCAGCAGAUUAGUGUACCUAUAAGAAUUAAACAUCUGGAUUGCACCUUCAAAAUUAAAUGCCCAUGUCUCUUGGUCUCCGGAUCUCUUCAGAUUGCUUCCAAUCCAUUCUGACAAUGCCUUUGAAAACCCACGCUUCAUCAUGUGAUCCACCAACCAUCUAAGAAGAUGAUUCCCGACAGAAUGGCACGUUAAGUAAGUAUAACCCGAAUAGAAGAGGGAAGACUAAGGCAAAAGAAUACUGAUGUGUGAGAGAUAAAGCACAGAACUUCACAGCCAUGCAGUUGCUUGUCUCAAAAAAAAUAAAUAAAUAAAUCUAUGUAGUUGUCGAAUUUGACCUGCUAUAGAAAUUGAAACUAAAAUUGUUGUACAUUUUUUUUAAAGGCUGUACCUGAUAGGUUUAUCGGUUCUAAUGAAGAAAAGUUCAAAAGAUCAGCUUUUCCAAGAAGCAUGCCAUAAAGCAACAAUAGAUUGCCUUUAACCAGGUAAAGCAGUAAUAGAGUACCUUUAACCAGGUUGAGUAAAACUGAAGACACUUAAAUUGUCAGCUAAUCACAAAAGAUACCACAGGAAAUAUUCACAUAACAUGAGCGCACAAUUCCUGUCUCAACAAUCUGAGACUUGGCUGGUAGUGCACAAUAAAGUAUGCAUAUAGGAAACAAAAAAAUCAUCAGAGGGGGAAAUCGACAUACUUUCGAGAUGGAAUUGAUGAAGGUAGACAUUGCAAGGUCUGCAAUACUUGCUCCACUUCUCCAUCACUUUCCUCAGGGUCUACUUUCCCAGGGACUGAGUCAAGUACCCAUAACUGCUCUGCAUCAGGAGUCUUAUGCAUGAGUGAACCAUAAAUUGUUACAGAUACGAGUAAAGUACAAGUACUCAAUUGACAAGUAUCUGAGGUGGCAAAAAUUUAAAUUCAAUAUGAACGCUUGCAUUGCAGGUAUACAAGAAUGAGUUGCAAAAACCUUUACAAUUGAUUUAAUGAGGUAUGGUAUCCUUAAAAGCAUCUUUGGGAGAGAAUUAAAGCUAGCUUGUUUGCAGUAGUCACGUUGUUCAUACACCUUUUACUCUUCAACACUAAAGAUUGAACUGUGCAGCAGAACAUUAAAAUUCGAAAAAUAACCAGCCAAGAUGAUACCAGAAGCUCGGCAGUACUCAUAAGUUAUCAGAAGUUACAAUAGAUUCCAGUCAAGGAAAUUUAAAAACCGGAGUUCUAUAAAAUUCGAAAAAGUAGGCAACUGAACGCACAACAAAUUGCCUAUCACUGGGACUGGUAAAAGGGACACUAUCAUUGGGCUAUCAAAACGUACAUCCUACUUAAUAACACAUGCCAGUUCAGGCUUUCAUGCACAAAAGGGACAACGAUAAUAGGAGCAAGUAUUUCAGUAAAAUGACAAGCAACUGUGGGUACAGUAACAGAGUGAAGAAAAAAGCAUGCCACAACUCCCAGAGUGAUUAACAACCAAAGACAGCAGACGAAUUAUCAAUGGAACAGGAUACUAGGAAAAUGACCUGCUUGGGCAAACAAGCAUGUUCCCCAUAAUCACCACGAGCACAACUCCGAGCGAAAUCCAAGGCCACCUUGCCACCCAAGGAGUGCCCUAUAACCACAUCAGGCCAAUCCCAUCCUUUUGACUUCACCAAAUCAGCCAAAUCUCGAGCCGCACUCCCUAUAGUAUGCGGUGGCGACAGUCCUGUUAUCUCGGCCGACUUCCCGUGAUUCCUCAAAUCCACCAUCACCAUCCUCCAUCCUAUCUCAAAUUCAAAAAACACACCAAAGACAAAAGGGGAAAAUAAUUAGCUCAGAUCACAUGGUUGUAAUGCAAUGUCCGAUAGACAUUUGUAAUGUACCUGAAAGAGAGGAAGCGAGGGAACGGGAGAAGGAGCGCCAGUUGCGACCGGAGCCUAAGAGGCCGUGAAGUAUGAAAGCUGUAUAAGUGUAGGGCUUGUCUGGGGAGGAUAAAACUUCUUCGAAAGCUAGGGUUUCGAGGGUCCUACUGGACUGGUGAAGGAUCGGAUUGGGGCACGGCAAGAUUAGGAACCGGUUCAGGAGUUUUGAACCGGGCUUGGUUACUAGAGAUAGAGUUCUAGACAUUGAUGGGGCUUAGAGCUGGUGGGGCGUUGUUGAAUAGGAAAAUUAAAGAAGAUGGGAACUAAGAAUGGAGACAGUAUCGUGGUGGAAGUUUGGAAGGGACGAGAAGAGAAGACGAGAGACCGAGACCCCAGAGGAUAUGGAAGAGGGGUACCGUCAAGACGAUGUCGUUUCAGUGCCCCAUCUCUGAAUAUCAAAGAGUACUAGUGCAAAAAUGUUGACAGCUGUGGGAUUUGAACCCACGCCCUUCCGGACCAGAGCCUAAAUCUGGCGCCUUAGACCACUCGGCCAAACUGUCUAUUUGUGUCUAUAUUCUAAAGAAAUUUUAGGAUAUUACAGUACACAGACGCCAUGGCUCAAAUCGCUCUAAUAUGCAGUUGCGAACCCUGUGAUGCGCACCAAAAGUGUAUCUAAAUAAUAAAACUGUGUUGAUUGCACUUUAUCAUUUUUAUUUCUUGGAUGAUAAAUUAUAGUACAUUUUUUUCAUCUUCAACUAGUUUGGAUAACGGCUUACUUUUCAUUUUAUUCCCAGUUUUUUUUUUUUUCUUUUUUCUGUGGCCAAAUGCUAAGCUUGGAAAAGACAGCUUCUGAAGAAGCAUAUACUUAUACGCCAGUCUCUUUUCUUCCUAGAAAUCAAAUUCCGAGGUGCAAAUGAAUACAACUAAAUUCUUUAUUUAAGCCUUUCCCCAAAUAUUUGCAAGCGAAUGGGCAUUAGACAGGGGAACUCCCACACAAAAUGUCAUGCAGAAGAACAGGACCGUCGCCUUUCUAAGAUAUACAGUAAUAAAUCGUGUAUUUUUUAACUUUUCAAAAUGGGACAAAUUAACCAACUCGAGCAUUGUAUAUUGAUGUGGCGUUUGUCCAGAAAGUAAUCAAUACGUCGGCAUUUUGAUCAACUUUCAAAUUCCCAUUUCCAGAGGACCUGUGGUUGAACUUCAUCUUCCAUUUCAACUUUUGAUAUCAUGCAAGUCCGUUUGCUCAGAGGACUGCCCUUAAUCGAAGGGAUCUAUUCGAGGGUCAUGUUCACUUGCCAUGGCCAUCCCAGUGCAAAGGCAUGUCGGGCACAUCACCUAUCAAAGAGACAAGGAGUCAGCAAAAAUGGCAGAUAGAUUUUAAGGAGCUGGAAAUCAACUGAAAGCAUGCAAUCAGCAUUCAGUGUAAAAAAAAAAAAAAAAAAAUUUCAACAUUCUGCGGUGCCAAGUCUAAUUUCCAACAGAAUAAGCAGCAUGAUCUGAUGCCAAAAAACACAAGAACAGAAUAAGCAGCAUGAUCUGAUGCCAAAAAACACAAGAUAGGUCAUAGUCUUUUUUAGCUAGGUAAAUUUCCCUUUGAGAGAGGUGUGUUGAAUAUUCACCAGAUGUUCACAAAUUAUGCAAUUAACAAGUCACAUACCUUUCCUGAGCCUGAGCAAUUUUGACACCUCUGAGUAGUUGGUCCAUGCAAUUGGCGGAUGGAAUCACUGCUAGUCGAGAUGGGUUCGAAUUUUAAGCACGUGCCACUAGCAGAACAACGGGCGCAUGCCAAGUAUCCUUUUGACAUUACAGUGCAGACAGAGAAGUAAUGGCUAACAACGAUCAGAUAUCGAAAAUAAAAUUAAUUGCAGAACAAUAUAACUGUAACAUAACAUAGCAUUCAAAUACAUUUUGCAAACCAAAGUAACAAAAAGCAAAUGAACAGUUGUAAUUCAAUUUGAGAUAUCUUAGCAUAUUUCAUUACACCAAAUUAGAAUGUUUUCAAUUGACAUUAACCUGGAAAUCUGAUUAGAAAAAGAAACCAUGGCUUCUCUAAGCCUUAGCGGUUAAUAAAGAGCUAUUUACGAAAAAGAAAAUAUUCAUUUAACAAGAUACCAGGUCUUGGGUGGAAGGGGGAGUUUUUGAAAGGCCAGAAAGAAGCCUUCACAAGUUUUUGUGCUUACCACUUCCAUGGCAAUACUUGCAUCUUUUCUUCUCUUGUUGCUCAACAUUGUUCACUUCUAUUAACAUCAAAGCAGAAAUAACCCCCACUGCGCCUCCUGAAAAGGAUGCCACUAUUGGAUCGACCUGACUGAAUAUACAAGGAGAAGAUUGUUCAAAAACAUCCACCAAAUGAACUGUAUAUGGCAGAGCAACUGCCAACCAAAGAAUGCUGCUAAAAUAAUGUACAGAGAUAUUAUUAAGAAACUUUCGAUUCCUGACAUAUAAUUUUUGUAUUAUUUAUACCUUAAUUGCAUAGGCAAAUGCAAAGUGUGGAUGAAAUCUUCAUAUGACGUGCCACCCAAACCUAAUUUCAGCUCCAACUGCCAUGUGAAACUGCUCCAUAAGUCGCAAAACAAUAAUGUAGUACUAUGCAAGUAGCACAGGUGAAUUCGUCGAAUCAUUCAGGUCUUAGAAUACAGUUGACUUCCACUUUUUUUAUAAUCUCUAUCCACUGUACAUGCAUGCAUCAACUUUUUGUUCAUAUUAUACCUUCCCAGCAGGAAAAUUGGUUGCAAUCUUACAUCCAAAACUAACAACUUCAUCUUAAGCUCUCUAAUAUUGUGAAUCUGUCCUGUUUCUGAGAUGGACAAGAACAAUAUGCAGCGUAAUUGUAGAACUACCUUCAAGAAAAUAGACAAUUGUACUUUCAAACUAAUUCUUACAAGCCAUCAUACACGAGCACAAUUAGUUUGAUCAGUCUGAUCAAAUACACCUGAAAUGGUGUAUAAAUCUAUAUUAGACAAUCAGACCUGUGCAGUUUUUAGAUUAUGUCUAACUUCAAGUAAAUCCAGUAGAAAGCACAUCAAGCAAGAGGUCAUUCUUAUUGCUUUCAGAUAUUAGACCUUUUUUUCAUAAGAACGAACCAAAAGCAAGACAGAUAAUACAAAUGGUAUAAGUUUUGCACAAUAGCAACAGCAUAUACAGUAGUUUGUGGAUGAGAAGGCUCACAGUUGGUGCAAUAAGCCCCCCAAAGACAAUUAUUCCAGAUACAAACGAAAAACUUGUUAGAUAGAGCUGCUUCAGCGUCUUUGGCGUCUACAUCAAAGGAAAAAGAUGUAUUCCUAAGUUAGUAUUGGACAGCAUGACAAAGAAGAGAAAAACAACAAUCUAGGACUCAAUCAAGAAGAAUGAUAUAGAACAAGAAAAUAGUAGACAAAAUCUCUUUAAAGUGCAUCUACGUCCAUCAUGACCUGGUUAUAGAGGCUAAUGCCAUAAUGCACAUGUCAAAUCAUGCAUUGAGCUACUUGUGACUAAAGUUGCAAUUGUGAAGAUAUAGAGAGGAUUAAUUACAAUAGCUCACAAAAAUGUAGAGUUAGUAGAAACGAGUACAUAUCUGUUUCUGUUAUACAGCUAAGGAUUAUCAGCAGGGAUUAUAUGCUUCAUCAAAUUUCAACCUAGACAUAUAUUGACUAAAGCUGAUAUUCCUUUCCCGACAUAAAAAGCUUCAAUCCUGUUUGCCUAAGCAUAAAUGCGUUGAGUUUCAUCCCUCAGGGAAUUCAUACUUCAAAAGCACAGAUAAAUUUCAGAGAAUCACCACAUGGGGGAGAAAAGGAAUUGAUGAGGGGAUAUCAGGCAUCUCAUUUUCCUGUUCACCCGUCCCAUCAGAAACUUUUAUGCUCUUUAUGUGUUGUUGUACUCUUAACCUCCGUACCUACAUGUAUGAGAAAAAGCUUAGCAGAUCAUUUCCUACAAACAUCGAAUGAUUAAAAUUUGCAAAUUGUACUAGAGAAUAUACUAUUCCCUUUCUGAAAGCAAGGAGAAAACAAACCUCCUCCAUGAGGAGAAAGAUUUUAUUGCGCCUGCUCCUAAUGUUCUCUUGUAUCUCCUGCAGCUGCAUUUGUACAAAAUCCUCAACUGUUUCUGGCCCUUCUAUAAUGCAGAAACUGCUGUGAAUAUGAAGAAAACAUUUUAAUAAUCUGAGAAAAGUUGAAUAUAUACAGAGCCAGCAAUAUUGACCAAUACAACCAGGAGGCAGUCUCACUCUUCUUUAAAAAUAAAGGUCUUUGCGAGACAAAACAGCAAUUAGCACCCGUCCCCAAAGAAACGUUAUUAUAUACGAAGAAAAGUUUAUCUAAAUCGGUAUGAAAUUACAGCUUCCAAAUCCUACAAUCCAAACAUGAAUAAAAAGACAUCCAUAAUAUUCAGAAAUCAUACCCUCACCCAAAGAAGCCCAUACGAAAAAUGGUAUAGAAAGUUGAGAAAUUGGAGACAUCAACCUUCGGAUAUUCUCCCCAGAAGGCAUAGAAUUGGGAUCAUCUGUAGAGGAACAUACUAUUCUUUGAGGUGUCGAAGACUUGUUGAGCAAAGCUCCGCCUUGGGGUCUUGCAACUCUGGAAGAGCUCAAGAAACUAAGGUUCUUGGAGAAAUUAACAUGUGAAGGAUGCAGUGAUGGCACCAAAGAGUAUAGACACGAAGAAGAACCCAUAAUCUUCCCCAAGCCACUCUACAAUGAUUUUCCUGAUUUCAUUUACAACAAACUAAUAAUGCCUGACACAGAAGAAGAUUGCGCAAGAGGAAAGGGGAUUAGGGAUGAAGGGUGCGGGGCUUUGUCCGUACGCAGAGGAGUGUGGGUAUGGCAUCUCAGAAGAAUCCAGAUGGAGACGACAGGAAUCCAUCCAGUAUGUUGCUACAGAAGCCGGCAAGUCAAACCUGUUUGACCACAUGAAUGGAGUUGCAAGUUACAAGCUUUUCAUUUUUGGUUAUGCACAGGUGGCCAGCCCAAAACUUUCAGGGUGGCUUCAGAUGGCAGAGUAAGGCCCGCUCCAGCCCCGCAUAGUACAUCUAUAAAUUUAUCCUGCGCCCUGCAUAGUUAGUGCAUCUGCAUCAUAUUUAUCUAUAAAUUUUAUACACAAUUCACGGGUAUAUUAUGUACACAAAUAAGUAAAAUAUGUACAAUAUGUAUAUGUGUACAUAGAUAAGUAAAUAUAUGUUCUUCAAUGCUUAUUAUAUAUGUUGCUUAUGAUAUAAGUUAUCCAUUUUUUUUCAAAUAGUUUGUAAUCUUAACGUAAUUUCCUCAUAUUGUGUUUCAAUAUCUUAUUUCAUUUGUUCACAUGAAAAUACAUACUUCCAAUAAAUGAAUUUUGUGAAACAUAAAGCCAAUGUAAGAUUGAUGGGAAUACAGGGUAGGGGUAAGGCUUAAAUGAGCCAGCAUGGGGACCAGAAUUAAAUUAUUUAAGCGUGGCCAGGGCCAGGGGAUGAGGAUUAAAUAUAAAUAUGAUGAAUGCCGUCAUCUUUUUAGAAUUAAUCUUUCUUACACUGGCUGACGGGGUUGGUUGAAUGGCACAUCAUCUGAAUUUAAAUUUAAACAUCAAAUUUUACUUAUUCGGCAUGUAUCUAAAUCUGCUAGUGUAUAUACUAUCAGUGUAUAAAAAAAUUUAUCCAUCUUUUUAUCUCUUUAAUAUAAUAAAGAGUUUGACGUUUUAAAAAAAAAAAACGUCAUUAUUUGUUAUUUUAAAAAUUAAUGAACACUACAUUACCUUCAAAGAAACUUUCUAAUUAAUUUUUUAUUCUGUCUUUUUUGUUAUUUACUUUCUUCUAAAAGACGCACCCACUAGUCUAAACAGGGCUUUGGCCAUCCAAAUGAUUAAUGAUGGCGACGAGGAUGGUCAAUACUACUUCAUUCCUGCUUUUACACCCAUAUACAAAAUAUUACGGAUAUUAUCUUGUUUGAAUCAAACACAAAGUAUUCACUCAAAACGAUGGGAGUUACUAUAUGUGCUCGGCAUUCUUAUUCUCUCUUUUGUUAGUCUAUUUCAAAUUUCCUCUUAGUAAAAUUUAUUUAUUAAUGAUGUACGAGCCUUAAAAUUUAAGGGCACCGAGAUAGCACCUUGGCAAAGACUAUUUCCCAACUGUUAAAAGUGGAAGGGACCUCAGACCAUUGCAUCUCCUCAUUCGGCUUUCAUAGUCAUUUACACCAUCCAAUCCGAGUGAGAACUUAUCGGCGGCCAUUAAUACCAUUUACGAAAAGAAAUAGACUAUUAGAAAUUGAUGAAGGAUGAUAAUACUGUCUAUCUCUUUGCAUCUCAUCUCCCUUCACUCCAGCCCCACAAGUCGGUUCUUGUGAAGCUAAGGAAGACAGAGGAUUAUGUCAACUAGCAUGUACACAUGAAGGUUAACGUAGAAUUGCAUUGACUAGAGUCUUUAACAUGAAAACAUAAAUCUGGAAAGCAAGUAUGAAGAUGGCGCAAUGUAACAAGGUACAUUCCUUCUACCAAUGCGGUAAUGCAUAGCUAUUUAGUCUGGCAUGUAGUAAUAUCCAUUCAGAGGUAAUUGUAAAUUUGUAAUCUAUCUAAGCAGCAUUAGUUAAAGUUUAUACUCUGGCAAUUUCCACUGAUUUUUGAAGAGCUGCUAGAAGGCUUCUCAUGAUUCUUGGCUCUCCAGGAGGUGACUGAGCUUUCAAGGGUCCAUUCCUUAUGGCCCGAAAAAUUGGACCUGAACUGUCAGUGGCUGGAAAAACUAAGCAAUCUAUGUAGACUAGUACUUCGGUUUUCCCGUCUCCAAUGGUAAUAAAGCCAAGUCUAGCUCCACCUGCAAUUUUGUCAACCUGCACAUAAAUUGCAUAAAUAAGAACUAAGCCAUUCAUAGACGGACGCCGCCUCCCAUAAAGUUUCACAAUCACCCUCCUGUUUCAAUAUGACCAAGGAUAUAUCAAAUAACUUUUAGGACAACAUUAGCCCAUUCAAAAUCAGUAUCCAAGAAUAACAGCAGUGUAGCCUGUUAUAUAUGUGCCAGCUACCUGUCUAAUGUUCACAACAUCAUAACACAAGAUUUUGCCCCAAUAGGUAAGGAAUUUCCCAUGAUCAUCAAGGUCAUGCACUUUACACUACCCUGCCCCUCUUGCCAUCCAAACCAUAACAUUUUUGCUGAAUUGCCAAUGCUUAAGAGUAGGUUACUAGCCUUGCCCAGCAAUACUUUUCCUCAUUUUUCCCGGACUGAAAUUUAUGAGAGCUGUCUUCUGCUGUGCAUCUCCUGAGCAUUGGCAGAGGUCAAGUUUGGCCUUUGAAGCUAGGAUAAAAGCCUUUUACGAACACCGCUCAGUUUUGACUCAGAUUAUACAAUUAAAGAAGGAUACAGCAGGACCAGGUAGUCAUGUAAAUCAAGAAUUUUGUUUUGCUGCUGGCAGCAACCUAGAUGGUACUCUUGAAAUAAGAGAGGGGAAGCCUAAAGGAUUCGCAUUUGGUACUAAAUGGACAAGUCAAGUGAAGAUAUAUUGCUUUGUUAGCAUAGUUUCAGUAUGAUUCACUUAAAACAGCAUGUAAGAAUGAUACAUUGACCAAAAAUCAAUAAGCAUGAACCUUAAGAGGUACUGGUAGUGGUAAAUUGGCACCUUGGCAGAGACUGUUCCCCCACUGUCAAGUCCAAGCACGAGAAACAAUUGGUCAAUAACAAGUUCAAGAUGCAUAAUAAUGAUAAAGAGGCAUUCAGGUCAACACUGCAGUGAAAGAAAAGUAUUAUGUAAUGACAUUAGAAUAAAAGAGAAAAGGUUCUGACAAAGAUAAUGAAGCAAAUAAGCAGGUACAACGGCAAACUUGUAUCUGUUUGACUUGUGAGGAUCGUUUCAGUGAUACAAUAAGACAAAUUUGUGCUCAGUUGCAACUUAGAUGAACCGAGAUGGUCUUGCUUAGUGGCCGAAAAGGAAAGUUUGAGCAGAAAAUGAGAACGCCUGGAACACAAGUUCAUUCCCCAUACCAUUUGUCAAUUUAUCUAUACCUUACAUACAAUUGGAAGGUAAAACACACCUAGCUUAGUGUUCGUGUGUUGGGAAUUUACUAAAAUACACUAAAAGCCCAGUGACGCCCAAUGAAAACUAAGCAUUCUAAGCUGCACUACUGUUGUCAAGCUUAUAGGUGUUUCUGUUCAUGACCAACAUAAUUAUUGUCCAAUUGCUGGAUCCUUUAUCACAACUCAAUGCAAAGCCUGGAUAAAUUUGAUCCCUAACGUUCCUACCAGCAUGGUAGUAUGUCUACAUCUUUAUCCAAUUUAUUGAUCUCAAUUGGAGAAAAAGUUUUAUUUGAUAAAUUCCAAGAUUUUGGCAUGCCUGCAUCAAUAACAUACAUGGGUACCAUCGAAACAAAACAACAAAUCAUAGUUAACUCUUAUUGGCGUUUCAUAGGGCUCAACUAGGCGAGGAUAGACCGCAAAAACACAAGUUUCGAACGGUAAGAGGUGUAAUCCAACUAUUCAAGUCAAUCACCUGGUUAUUAAUUAAAAGGUGUGACCAAUUUAUCAAAUUAACAAGCACUCAUCGUACUCAUCUUGUUGUCCGAGAUAAAGCCUAAAACAGCACGAAAAGGACUCCCCAUUAAGUUUAAGCAAGAAAAUCCAGUUUUGUAGCUUCAAGACGAUGCCUUUUACUCAGAAGGAGAUACCAAAUUUCAAGAAAAGCCACAACGUAGUGUGUCGAGACACUUAGGAAACUUACACAAAGUUAAAAAGAGUCCAAAAACAUCAAGACAUCCGUAUGCAUUUACCUGAAAAAGCAAGGUUUCGAAUUUUGCAAGGUCAGUAUCUAAUGGGAGCUUCAUGGUUCCUAACGACACGCCGUCCUCGUAAUCAUUGGCGGAUGAUAUGGCGUCGUUUCCCGUGGUUGCCUUCAAGGCCUUACGCAGAGUCCUUUUGCUUGAAAAUGAACGAGCGUGGAUUAAUAGAUUAUAUUUGUCCCGGGAGCCAAUUGCUGGUGGAGGACACAGAAUUGAUUGGCGGAACAGACAUUUUGUCGCGUGAAAAGCUUGCGUUAAGGGAAAGAGAUGUCUACCAGUUACACUUGCGUUACUAACCAUGGCUUCUGGGGAGGUGGGUUUGGGCCAGAGGAGAAUCAGGACUCAGUAGUCAGGAGACAGAUAGGAAGCGCUUACAUAUACCAUCGAAAAUACAAGGACUGGAAUUGGAUAGGAUGUGCUCCUCAGUGGUUUAUUUUUCUUACAUUCUAUUUGAUUCUAUUAUUGUUACCACUCCCAGGCAUGUUAAAUUUAUUAUCCUUUUCAAGUGAGAGAGCUAGAAUUCCACAUGUCUCAUUUACACUUUCUUCUCGAACCCCUCAUUUACACUUCCUUCAGGAACCCAUUUUUCCUGCAGGUAUGUUCAUUACUUGUUUGUUAGCAAGAGGAAUGUGUACAUUCAAUCUAGUGCUCUUUUUUUUUCCUUUUAAACUAUUUAUUUUUACAUCCUAUCCAAAUCUGUCAGUUAAAAGUCGAAAAUAAAUUGAACACCCAAGGUGAAUUGGAAACAACAGAAUUAGGACGCAUCCAUCUCCUCGGCAUUUACCAUUUAGCGUGUUUUGAUAGAAAUCAUGAAAUACUUCAGCCCUUUACAACACUGGAGUUUAGUUCAACGAAUGCCCCAAAACAUUACGCACACAUUAUACCACCCCAUAUCUGGGACAUUUACAUGGAUUCAAAAGCUAGUGCAUAGCAGGAGCAGGCCUUCAAAGGAUUUGCUUGGUGAAUCUUUGAGUUCCUCGCUAAAAUUAACCUUUUAUUCAUCACUGCGUUCUAUAUGUGCUCCACAACUCUAAUUUUUUCUGCCCUACUUCAGGAUCUGUACAUGUCACAAAAUGAAAUUAUCCUAUAAUUCUUACAACAAUAGAGAGGCAGAACACACUCAACAAAUAAUAAUCCAUCUCACACCAAGAGGUGCCUCAGUCAUCUUCGCAGUUGUCAUCAAUCUAGUGUGUGGUUAUCUUGGCGGCUCUUUCCCAGUUUCGCUAUGAGGAAGCACAAGCUUCAAGCUUUGGAAGAAGACUCCGCCAGGCUUCAGCAAUACCAUUUGCUAAAUGUGCUUGUCCCUUAGCAAAUUCAUGAAAAGCAAGCCCCAUAUCCAGUGUCUUUUGUUCUUGAAAUCGGACAAUUUCUUCAUUCAUUAGCUGGACGAUUGCCUCAAAUCUUCUUGUUGCUUCCUCACCAUCAGCCUUCAGCUGCAUACACAAACUCAUAAUAAGGGGAAAAACAGCAAUCAUAGUAAAAGCAAACAAUACAAUUCAAGGCCAACUAACCACGUCAUAUUCACGCUCAGCGUCAGCCAAUUUUUCUGAACGCGUUAGCCUAAGUUUGUUCCUGCAGAAGAAUACAAACACAUUUUCAUCAAUAAUAAAUUACUAGCAGUAAAUUCCAAUUAGUAGUUAAUUAUUAACAAGUUCUCUGGAUAAGUUUCUAUAGAUUUGCUAAUAUUGAUGUUCCCUUGUGCAUAACUUGACAAGACAAUAUUUUGAAAGAACAUUUCCUAAGACAGAGCAACAAGGAAGAAGGGCGGGUAUUGCAACAGCAUGGUCAAUGUAGCUCUGGCUUAAAUUUGGGUUCAUAGGAAUUAAACCUUUAAGUAACAUUUAAGUUCAUAAAAAAGACCUAAUACAGAUUAGUGCAGUUGUUUACAAAACAUGAUUUGCUAAGAACCAGAAAACAUGUUGUAAAAUUUCUUAAAGCAACAGUUGGUUAUCAACAUAAAAAAAAAAAAAAAAAUCCAAAUUUUGUUCUGCUUGCAUCACAAACACAAUUUCCAACCACCUUUUUAUUUCACAUGCAUCACAUCACCAAAAAAAGCUACAGUGUUAUUUCAGAUAUUUUCCCCAAGCAGAGUUGACAUCACUACCUACCAGCCUUGCAUUUUGUGCUGAACAUGAAAAAGUUGAUAUCAUUAUUCAAUUACCAAGCAUUAGCUCACUAAAUCCUGAGUUCAUGUACAAACUCACAAUCUUCUACAGGGCAUGAAGUUUCUGUUUUCAUAAUAAUGUUUCCAAAUAUAAGAUCCACAAACUAAUGCAAGUUGAAACUCACAGAUCAAUUUCCUUGAACUUUAUAGUUUCGGCCAAUUCACAUUGCUGCUUAAAUGCAUUUGCCCUCUCAGCUAUUGUAGCCUGUUAAGAAAGAAGGAUGGAAAGAGUGUCAGAUUAUAUUGGUGAAAAAAAAUGUGAUAAAAAAAUAGACAAAGCAAGAAUUGUGGAUCAAGACAAGGCAACAUCAUUCCACUAUUCUUUGCCACAAUUGUUGUAUGAUAUUUGGCAUUAUAAUUUACAUAGAGAGAAAAAACGGGGGUUUUCUUCCUUGAUUUAUAUUGCAAGAGCUACUCCCAAUGGCUAAAUAAAUUCACGUAUACGUUUCAAGAAAACAUAAUAUCAGACAGAAGUCUCCACCCUUCAAUAGGACACAUGAACAAUGCAUAAGGCUCCCAGACUAACCUUAAUUGACUGUACAGCACGAACAUAGUCUUUCAAAGAUUCUUCAAAGUUCAUCAACAGGUGGUGAGCCUGAAACUCACCAAAAAUAAAUAUACAAUCAGAUAAGUAAACUUCAGUUUUAAAGUAAAAAAAAAAAAAAGUUCAGUGUGAUAUUUUAUAUAAGUACAAAAACGCACCUCCCUCUGCAUCUUAACCGAGACUAUUUCUGCUUUGUCCCCAACCUCAGAAAAUACCUUACCGAGAGCAUUAUCUUCACAUGUACCAAGCAGCUUGACUGCCUUCCCAAACUCUGACAGAGAUUGCCCCAACUCUGAGGUAAAAUAUCAAGAAACUCAAUAUGUGUAACUACCUUCAUUCAAAUGCAGCAAAUGAGGAACCAAAUCAAUGUUAUACAAUAGCAUUCAGCUCUGGAAAAAGAAGAAUCUAAAACCACGAAAACCCAUAAAUGAGGUUCCACGAGAGAAAAUGGGGAAAAUCCAGUUUAAUAGAGAAAAACUGAAAAGGUGCUGAUGAAAAAAGGCAACAGUAUGAAACACGUUUCAUUGUGGAAAAUCGACUCUCUAAUCUCUCAGAAAGAAAUCUCUGCAGAUCAAGUAUUGGGAAAACAAAUACUUUACUUUGUUUUUGGGAGAUCAAGUUUUUGGGAAAUCUCUGCAGAUCAAGUUUUUGGGAGAACAAAUACUUUACUUUGUUUAAAAUGAUAACAUUUGCAGCAUAUACACCAGAAUAGCAUCCUACUACUGACACUAAAACAUAUAAUCGAGCAUUACAAGGAAUGAGUACCCCUAAUACCUCUAUGUCUUUUUACAAGACGAUAGGCAUGCUUCUGAGCUUCAGCUAAGUGAUCUUCAAGCUCAAAUAUAUAACGUUUUAGUUUCUCAUACUCAGGAGUCGAUUCUUCAACAGGUUUCUCCUUUCCAAGAACAACAUCACUCACCUUUGACUGUACAUCCUGCACAAUAUUGCAACUCUGUCAAUAUUAUAUCUCUGAAUACACACCUUUCAAGUUUCAAGGGAUAUUUCAAAACAUUCUGCCAGUAUGAAAUGGUAUUGAGGACCAACCAAAAUGCUUAUUGAGCUCCUUGUGAACGUGAUGGAACUCUAUGAUGUGGAACACAGUGACCAGGAAAGACCAACUCACUAAAAGAAACCAGCAAGGUAUCUCACUUUUCAGUAUAAGCAUCUCCUAACUUUUACCAACAGCUUAAAUUUGUGAAAGAAAGAAAUUGCAACAUUUUCAAAAUGUAGUUAUCUAGAGCUCUCCCUAGCAAACUGGUGUGGUAUUAAAGAUCACCUGAAUGCAUCUCGAUGGCUAAUUUUCAAAGGAUUAAUCAAAUUUAAGUCAAAAUUCCAUCUGAGAUAGAAUAGAGAGUUUGAAAUUUCAAUCCAAAUAUACGGUACCUUGAAAAUCUGCAUCAAAUCAGCUGGUUUCUUCUUGAAGAUACCAAUCUCUUGUGAUCUUGCUCUUUCCAUUGUCUACAGAACAGCCAGUGAAACGACACAAUGCAUAAUGUACCAAACAAAGGAAGAAAAAUUGAAAUGGCAUAGCAUAUAGAACGUUAAAAAGGUAUGAAGUAAAAUACAGAAGAAUCAAGACAAUGGAAACGAAAUAUGCACUUCAGAUGCAUUGUAAGAAUUGACAGGUGUGGAAAAAGUCCUUGAAAAGAGGUAAGUAGGCAAAGAAAAUGCUGCCAGACUGAAGUUGAACAUCAAUUCUUGAAAAUGAAACAUUUUUAAAGUACAACCUUAGAGAGGAAAAGGGUGCUCCCUUUAAAAUAAAUUUCCAAAUGCAAGAAAAGCUUUAUUCAAAAUGAAUUGCAGAACACCAAACCUUUUUUGUUAAAGCAUCAAAUUCAGCCAAACUACCUGUUCAUCUGCCUGCAAAAAGAUUCUCAGGUCCUCACUCUGCUGAAGAAUGUGAUGAGAAGCUAUCCGGUUGACAAAUAUAUCAAGUGCUUGACGCCGCAUUUCGAUGAACUCGGCAGUGAACCUAAAUUUUUCUGCCCAAGGAAGGACAAAAUUACAGUUACAGAAACACAGAAUUGUCCCAACUAAUCAGAUUCACUGUGUGACAAGGUCAAAGUGCCUUAGACACAUGCUAAACAAGACUUGCACUUCAUCAGGAUUUGUAGUAGUGAAAUGACAGAUGCAUAAAAUGCUAUUCAAUUCCUGGGUAUGAUGAAUUGAUGAAACUUUCAGGACAUGGAUGUGAAAAGAAUAUCAGUCAUUAAUGCCACUUUACAUUUAUUUUUUCCAGCCUAGAUUAAAGUUGAAAAAACAAUGGACAGUAAUGGCUAAGUAAUUCGAUAAAUGAAGACAAGGAAAAAGACAAAGAAUUAUUCUGAGAAUGAAAACCUAGCAUUACUAAUAUCAUCUCCCAUGAGAACCUGUUCAUGAAUGUUUGAUCGUCCCAAUUAGCAUAUUUCGGAACUAUAACAAUUGCAGGAACAUGGUCUUUACUUUUGACACAUUGCCACAUCAGUCACUUCCCCAAUUUGGCAACAGGAAAACCAUAAAUGGAUGACUAUCAUGCGGAACCACAGAUAAAACAAGGAGAAACGAAGGAAAAGUAUGUGCAUUAACUUAUUACCUACUGUGCUCUUCUCCGGAAGAGGAGGGAUAAAGAUUCCCUUGUACUUCUCAAAAAGACGAUCUCGCAACCACACAAAAUCACUAUAUCUACGAAUAACAAUCUUCUCUGGCCCUUGAUAAUCUGGCAAAUUUGUCUGCAAUAAUAAUUCCCAGAUAUAACUGACGCAGCCGAAUCAACUAUUCAGAUAAUUAAGAAGUAAGCAUCCUAUAAUAGAAACAUUCUAAAAACCUAACAAUACUAAUACCACUUUGACUUGCUUAAGGGGUGCAACAGAAAGUAAAGGCAAACCCUGACACUACAACAAUGUAAGCACCGGAAAAAUAUAUCUAACAUUUACCGCUUAUUUUUCACUACAGUUAUCAAGAAAGCAUCGCCAUCAACUGUAAAAGUCAUCACAGUAAGCUACUUUCCAAAAGAGCGAUCUGUAUCUAUGUAUGUGACUUGAUAAGAUAUUUAAUCAAUCACAGCAUACAAUAUUCGAGCAAAUGAAGAAUGAGGUGAAAUAUGCCAACCUUAGUGAUAACUUUGUAGGAGAUAUAAGCUUGAACGCCAUUGCCCAUCUUAGCUGGAUCAAUCACUGAUACUGAUAAAAACGGCUCUUGCGACGACGGGGAUCUAGGGCUCUGCGUUGACCCCGAUCCACUCCUUUGCAGCUGCUGCAGCGUAUUCAAUCAAUUCGAGUUAAAUCCGUCAUCAAUUAUGAAUCAGAAAAAUGUUUAUUACUGAGACAUGAUAUUGAAUUUAUACGCAUGCAAUAUAAAUAUAAACGCGUUCAACUAAGUUCAAUCACUACAAGGAUGGUGGCAUGUGUGUAAAUACCGUCGGGAUCAUGGUUGUUCUUGUAUUGGAGUCAGUGAAGAAGAGCGGCGGAGAUACAGAGAAGAGCGAUAGAAGAGGUUUGUCGGAUGAGAGGCGGAUAUGGAGUGUAGAGUGACGGAAGAGACUUGUUUGGAAGUUAAUUGUAUCGGCGGUGCUGGGGUAGUUGCUUCACCGUUCCGGCGAGUCCAGAGUGUAGUAAUGUGCCAAAGCUGGGGGUAUUAUUGGGGUGGGAUAAAAAAGGGGGGGUGACUGGUGAGGUAAAUUCGGCCAUUAACUGAUUCGCCAGCUUACGCAAUGGCGUCUGAGUUGGCAACUAACAAGUGGAGAACCCUCUUGUUUGUGGGCCCAAUACCCUCGAGUUGUUUGUUCUAGUCCAGAUAAUGGUCUAAGAUGUCUACUUUAAUAAUAACCUUGAACUUAGAGCACUUUGAGGAUUAGCAUGUGUAUCAUAAACUAGUACUACUAAACUGCUACUAGAUGCUAAGGUGUAAACAAGAUUGGUCGAGCCAACAUGAGGUAACAGAAAAAUUUAGGGUUCUUUUGCUUGGAUAAUGAUUAUCAUGCAGUGCCAGUUGGAGCCUAAACUUAUAUUAGAUCGAGUGUGUUUGGAUUGUAAGUUAUUUGAGAUAUUUUUACUGUAGCACUUUUUGUGAUGUGAUGUAUGUGAGAUAAAAAGAUAAUUGGAAAGAUAAAAAGGUGUAUUGGAAAUUGUAAUAGUGAUGUAAGAAAAUAUAUUUUGGUGAAUAACUUGCAAUCCAAACAUAUUUUCGAUUUUUUACUUGGUAGGUUGAAUUUAUAUUGUCAAGGCCUCUGCAUUUUAUUUGCACUAGUUAAGAGCCCAUCUAAUGUAUGUGAAUUUAAAAAUAUUAAAAAUGAAUUAUCUUUGUAUAUAUUUUUUUAUAUAAAUAACAUUUGUAUUAGUUUUUCUAAAGAACUUUGGUUUGUAUGGUUACAAUAAUUUAGUAGUUAUAAUUUUUGGAGUAGUUAUGGAUAGUUAUUACAAUACUUAGGUGGUUUUGAGUAGUUGUAUCAAUAGAACGUGAUUAGAUGAGUAAGGUUUUUUUUUUGGUAAAACUAUAAUUGAAAGUUCAAAAGAUUACAAUGAUUGUUUAUAUCAAUUGCCAAUACUCUAACUUUUUAUAUUGUGUAGAUUUGACUUGACUAGAUUGACCAAUAUUAAUUUGCAGUCACUAUUAUAGACGCAAAUCACGUUCAAAUAAGAAUUCUUUCCCUUUAAAGUGUUGCUGUGUUCUUUGCCACCCUCCCUCCUCCCAGAAGGCUCUUCCACUACCCAAUCCACCAUCGUUUUUCAUCCAAUUCACUACCGUUUUCGUGAAUGUAUUUAAUUCUUCUCUUAACUUCUCUUCUUGCUCUAUUAAUCAAAAGUAUCUUAUAUAUAAUAGUUUUGAAGUGACAACUAAACUAAAAAGGAAGUGAGACCGGUGGCAACUGCAAAAAUAGGUUGACUUUUUUCCAUUUUGGUUAUGUCUCGUUUAAUAUGAGAUCGAUUCCUAAUGAGAUCAAUUUGAUUGACUAGUGCCCUAUUUAAUUUUCUAUUUCUUGCCUAAUUAACAUCUUAGAUUUUUUAAGACAUGGCUUUUGCCUUAUGGUGCCAAAAGCAACUCUAUCAUAAAAUGUAAACUUUUCUAAUUAUCGGCAUAAUAAUUCACUUCAUAAUAUCUAAUCUGUAAUCAUUCUCUCUAAUUCAAAUAAUUAGCUUCAUUUUAUGUGUUGAAUUUUGUAUGGCUUUUAUCAUUGAAUACGUGGCCCGUAAUGUUAUCAAAUUUGAACAAAAAGGGGACAAUUGAUGAUGAAAAUUGGCUCCUAAUUUUUUCAUUUCGUACAAAAAAAUAAGUAUAUUAAUAAUUAGAAAGAUUCAAAAAAAAAAUCAAUACCUAUGAAAGUUUUGAAAGUUACAUAGGCAAUCAUUGAAACAAUAUAAAUAAGGUAUAUAUAUCUUAAAUUUUUAUGAAGCUAUUUUUUACCUAUUUCUUGUGUAUAUACUAAUGGUAAUUAUAGUUUCAAUUUUUAAGUUUUAACAAAAAUUAUAUUUGUUUGUCAAAAAUGAAAGUAAGAUGUGAUAGAUAAUUUUAAGUAUUUUUAUUUAACUAUUAUAACUAAUUUGCAUGUGGUUAUCAUUACUAGCAAUUUGCCAAAUUUUUUCAACAAUUCUUUUUUAUUGUCAAUAUUACAAAUAUUAUGGAUCAUAAUAUGUUUCCUUAAAAGUUAAGAGAUCAAUAUAUUAGGGAUCAUAUAUUUUAAAUUUUGAAAUACAUGAAACUAAAUUUGUUAUCUUGGUGACUACUUUAACUCGGUAUCUAAUAUUUGACAAUUGUCUCGAUAAGCCUACCUAACAAAUACAAUAAAAGUACAAAAUGGCAUCUAAAGUCUUGUAUACUACAAAUAUAAUCAAAUCUUAUUAGAUCUCCGUAGUGACCUAGGGUUCAGCACUCCCGAACUUUUAUCGGGAGUUCCACGUGUCUUUUAACCUCUUUAUCUUUUGGGAUGCACCAUUUACAACUUUGCAUAGGCCGUCUGAGUUGUACAUCUAGAACAUCAGUCACAUUUUCUUUCUUUACAAUCUAUAAAUGUCACCCAUACUCCAUUUAUUUAAGAUAAUGACCAACUCCACACUCUUAGGCACAAAAUGGCAUCUAAAAUCUUGUAUACUACAAAUAUAAUCAAAUAUUAUUAGAUCUAUGUAGUGACCCACGGUUUGGCACUUCCGAGCUCUUUGUCAGGGACACCAGGUAAUUUGACUAUCUAGUGUGGAGAUUGAGAGUUAGAGGAAUGAAUUAGAGAAAAGAGAAGAGAGGCAGAAGAGGGAAAGAGAGAAAACUGAAGAGAGAGGGAAAGAAUGGAAAUUGUUAUUUCUUCAAAAUGUCGUUGUUACAAUUAAUGGUGGUCCCCACCUUUAUAACAACCUGAUUCUGGUAGUUAAUCCUAACCGACUCAAUACUCACUACUAAACUACAUCGUUUUGAUUGCAAUUAAUCCAAGCCUGACAAUUCCCUCCCCAUAAAACAGACUUGUCCUCAAGUAUAGAAUUCAGGGAAUUGAUGUUCAACAAAAGACUUGUCCUCCCAAGAUGCCUCCUCAUAAUCCAAGUGAUUCCAUUUAAUCAGAAACUGAAUAACUGGCUUAGCAUCUCGCAAAAUAACCCUCCUUUUCAGAAUUACUUCUGGCUUUAAUGGACAUUGAUCCUGAAAGUCUAACUCUGGUAGGGUAGUGGAGCUGCCCUGCAUUGGUCUCAAUUUCUUCUUAAGCAAAAACACAUGGACACUGAAUGUAGUUUGGAGUCGGCUGGCAGCUUAAGUUUACAGGCUACUGCCCCCACCUUCUGCUCAAUCUGGAAUGGCUCGUAGUACUUAGCUGCUAAUUUGAGACAUUUUCUGAUAGCCACAGUCUGUUGUCUGUAGGGUUAGAGCUUUAGAAACACCCAAUCCCCCACAGAGAACUCCCUUUCAGAUAUGUGAUAAUCAGCAUACUGUUUCAUCCUUUGUUGAGCCUUGGUCAAGUUCUCCUCAAUGCAGUAUGAUAUCCUGAUCCUUUCCUGCACCAUGUUGGAAACUGCAGGAAUCAUGGAGUCUAAUACGGUCCCAUUGGUAAAUGUACUGGCUUGUAUCCAAACAAGGCUUCAAAAGGGGUCAUUCCCAGGCUUGAAUGGUAGGUGGAAUUGUACCACCACUCAGCCAGAGAUAACCACUUGCCCCACUGGGAAGGAAGCUCUCCAGUCAUACACCUCAGGUAGUUUUCCAAACAUUGGUUGAGUCUUUCAUUCUGACCAUCAGUCUGAGGAUGGUAAGAUGAAGAGUAAUGUAGCUCAGUCUCAACUAGCUUGAAGAGCUCUUUCCAGAACCUGUUGGUGAAGAUUUUGUCCCUAUCAGUGAUGAUAGACUCUGGUAGGCCAUGUAGCUUAUAGAUGUUGUCCAGAAAAGCUUGAGCAACCUCCUUUGCUGUAAAUGGAUGUGUCAAUUUGAUGAAAUGACCAAACUUGGUGAAUCUGUCAAUAACUACCAGUAUAGUAUCAUAGCCUUGUGACUUAGACAAUUUCUCGAUGAAAUUCAAUGUGAGAUCAUGCCUGCUUAGGUACAGAGAAUGGUUGCAGCAAUCUGGGGUAGAGAACAUUUUUAGACUUGUUUCUUUGACAGACAUCACACUUAUGUAUAAAGGACACCACUUCUUGCUUUAUGCUUGGUCAGUAGAAUAAGUUCCUAAUUUUCUGCCAGCAAUUCCUCUGGCCUGAGUGACCACCUAUUGCUGAAGCAUGUAAGGCCAGUAUAACUUGCUCCCUGAUGUUCCCUGCCUCUCCAACAUAGAUCCUACCCUGGAAUUUCAAUAUUCUAUCCACCAUAGUCACUGUGAGAGUUGGGAUCCAGCACUAGUUUAGCUAUAAUGUCUUGGCAAUGAGUGUCAUCCUCAUAACUUUUCUGCAACUCUGCAAUCCAGCCAGGUUUGACAGAGCUAAUAGCCAUACAAGAGCUCAGUGCAACUGUAGGUGUAACUUCAUGUAUCCUAGACAAUGCAUCAGCCACCUGGUUUUCUCUACCUUUUUUGUACUGUAUCUCAUAGUCCAACCCUAGAAGCUUAGUCAUCCAAUUAUGUUGAAGUGUAGUGUUUAAUUUUUGAUCCAAUAGAUACUUCAGAGACUGGUGGUCAGUUCUAAUGAUGAAAUGAUUCUCAACCAAGUAGUGCCUCCAUUUAGUAACUAGCAUUACUAGAGCAAGGAGUUCUUUUUCAUACACUGAUAAUCCCAAGUUCUUAGCUAAGAGUGCCUUGCUUAAGAAAGCAAUACGGUGCCCUUCUUGCAUCAGAAUUGCUCAUAUACCUCCUUCACUGGCAUCUGUCUCUACUAUUAAAGACUUAUUGAAAUCUAGCAACUGAAGAACAGGAGCUGAGCACAUCAGUUUCUUAAGUUGAUCAAAAGAAUUUUGUGCUUGCAUUUUCCAUUUGAAGCUGUCCUUUUUGAGCAAUUCAAUAAGUGGCUUGCAGACAAGCCCAUAAUGCUUUAUAAACCUUCUGUAAUGUACUGUAAGUCCCAAAAAGCCUCUCAAUUCCUUAACAGUUUGUGGUAUGGGCCAUUGCAUAAUGCUUUUGAUCUUAGAAUCAUCCAUAGUGAUCCCUUGUUCAGUAAUGGUAUGCCCCAGAUAGUCCACUCUGGUCUGAGCAAAGGCACACUUGAAUUUCUUUAUGUAUAGUUGAUUACUGCUCAGAAUGUCAAACACAAUCCUCAGAUGAUGCACAUGAGUCUUCACUGUAGAACUGUAUACAAGGAUGUCAUCAAAAAAUACCAGAACAAAUUUCCUCAAAUAAGGUUGAAAUAUAUGAUUCAUCAGUGAUUGGAAUGUGGCAGGAGCAUUUGUGAGUCCAAAAAGCAUGACUAGAAACUCAAAGUGCUCACAGUGAGUUUGAAAGGUUGUCUUGAAGGUAUCCUGACAUUUCAUUCUGAUCUGAUAAUAUCCAGCUGUGAGAUCCAACUUAAUCUUAAACACAGCACCUGUUAGUUCAUCCAGUAGCUCAUCCACAUUGGGUAUUGGGAAUCUGUCCUUGACAAUUAAUUCGUUUAACUUUCUGUAGUCCACACAAAAUCUCCAAGUACCUUCUUUUUUCUUGACUAGCAAAACAAGGGAGGCAAAAAGACUAUUGUUGCACUUGACUAUACCCUUCUGCAACAUCUCAGUAACCUGCUUCUCAAUUUCCUCCUUAUGGCAAUGGGGGUAUCUAUAAGGUUUCAAUUUGAAUGGCUUAGUUCCUGGUUUGAGGGGUAUUUCAUGAUCCACAUUUCUACUGGGAGGUAAGUCAUUUGGGGUCUGAAACAUAUCUUCAUAAUGUUGUAGUAGUUCAGCUACUUCUGAGGGUAUAGGGUCAGCUUCUCCUCUUUCAUCCUGUGCUUAGCUCAUUGCCAUACACAUCUGCUUCUUGUACUCUAUGAAUCUCCUUAAAUCCUUUCCCUUGAUUAGGUCCAUAUCACAAUCUUCUGCUCUCCCAUGCAACUGGAUCUCAUCUCCCUCAUGAUGUAAAGAUAUUCUGAGCUGAUGGAAAUCGAAUGUAAUUGGACUAAAGUGUGUUAUCCAAUUCACUCCCAAUUUUAUGUCCCAACCCCCAAGUUUCAUUACUUUGAGGCUGAAUCUGAAAUUAUGUUGGUUAAUCCUCCAGUGCACAUUAGGACAAAUAGCAUUACUAGUUACACACGUUCCAUUGCCCAUGAUAACAAAAAAUGGCUGAUCCACCCACUGAUACCCAAUAUCCAUGCCAAUAACCAACUCAUUGCUGAUGUAACUGUCUGAACUUCCAGUAUCCACCAGAAUUAGCACCUCCUCCCCAUCAAGGAUGCCCACAAAUGUAAUGAUUUUCCUUUUUAAUGUUUCAGAUAAUGCAUGUAAGGACAUCUCCAUUGCCUGCCCAGGAUUUCCUGUCUGUUCAUCCUGCUCACUCACUGCAUCUUCAAAGGCAGAUUCCUCUUCUUAUUCAGGAACAUGCAGUUUGCAUAGCUUACCUUGUACUGGUGGCCUAUUCCAUACUUUUUCCCACACUUGAAGCAUAGUCCAUUAGCCCUCCUAUACUGCAUUUCCUGUGUUGAAGGUUUCUUUGAGUCCUUGAAUUCCUUUUGAGAGUUUCUGAACUUGGAAUAUUUGAAAUUGCUACUGACAGGCACCUUAUAUGAGUGACUCCCAGUAGUUGGUGUAUUACUCAUUGUCAUUCCAAACUUAUGCUCCCCCAGAGCUCUGGUACUGUCCUUAGUAUUCCUACGUUGGAUCCUGAUUGACUGUUCCUGCCACUAUGAAAUCUCAAAUGUUUCUGUCAAGGUAGUAGAUUUAAGCAUCCUGACCAUAGGUUUGAUUUCUUCAUUUAAUCCACUUAUGAAACUGGAAACAAAAUAGUUUUCAUCCAGAUUUCGAUUCUUAGUCAUCAUCAGAGGUUUCAAUUCUUCAAAUUUUUCUUGAUAUUCUCUCACACUCCCUUCCUGUUGCAGCUUAUUAAACUCUUCUAUCAUAUCUCUGCAAGUACUAUCAUUGAAUCGCCUAUACAGUAAUUCACUAAAUUCUUCCCAGUCCAAAUUAGAUUUCUCAAUUUUUACCCCUUGAAACCACUUGUCAGCUCUACCUUCUAGAUACAUCUCAAUGACCUCAACUUUCUGUUCCUCAGGAACUUGAUAAUUCAAAAGGUAUUUAUUACAUUUGCGGAGCCAAUCCCUAGGAUUUUCACCAGAAAAUAAUUGUAAAUCAAUUUUUGGAGGAUUUGGAAUCUGAAACUUACUCCAGUCCUUCUUAAAAGGUCUUUUGAGCCUCAAUUUCAGCCUGUAGCCUUUGGUGAGCUGGAGGAGUAGGUAGAAUUGGUGUUAGAUCCACGUUUACUCUUCCAUCCUUUUCUGGAACCUUAUAUUUCCCCGUUGUCAUCUUCAUCAGUAGGUUGUUAAUCUUUUGUUCCAAAUUCUAUUAAGAUUCUGUUCCAUUCCAAUGACCAGGUCCUCCAUCCUCUUGUUGCUUUCUUCGAGCUCUAUUUUCAAUUCGCUCCUAAUUUGUUGUUGCUCCAAUUGAGCUGAAUGCAAGGAUCCUAGCAGUUCCUGGAGCUUGAACUCCUAUUUUUUCACUUAUUCCUCCAAUGUUUGAAGCCGAUUGCCUUCUGCCAUUGAAUUUCAAAGCGAGCUCCAAGGAUCGUUUGCUCUGGAUACCAAUUGUCAGGGACACUAGGUAAUUUGACUAUCUAGUGUGGAGAUUGAGAGUUAGAGGAAGGAAUUAAAGAAGAGAAAAGAGAGAAGAGAGACAGAAGAAGGAAAGAGAGAAAACUGAAGAGAGAGAAAGAAUGAAAAUUGUUAUUUCUUCAAAAUGUCGUUGUUACAAUUAAUUGUGGUCCCCACCUUUAUAACAACCUGAUUCUGGUAGUUAAUCCUAACCGACUCAAUACUCACUACUAAAUUACAUCGUUUUGAUUGCAAUUAAUCCAAGCCAGACACUCUUAUCGGGAGUUUCACGUAUCUUCUAACUUUUUUUAUCUUUUGGGAUGCACCAUUUACAACUUCGCAUAGGCUGUCAGAGUUAUACAUCUAGAACAUUAAUCAUCUUUUCUUUCUUUACAAUCUAUAAAUAUUGCCCAUACUCCACUUAUUUAAGAUAAUGAACAACUUUACACUCUCUUUAGAAUGUGAACAGUUGGUACUAACUUGAGUAUCAUCAACGAGACCCUAGUUUUGUAUUGACACUCUUUUUAAACCUUGAAUAACUUGAGUAUCAUAAUCAUCUUGGGGACGAGACCUUGAUUUUGUAUUGACAAUCUUUUUAAACCGUGAACAACUCGUACUAAUUUAAAUAUCACAGUUAUCUUGGUUUUGUAUUGACACUCUCUUUAAAUUGUGCUACCUUGAAUAUCAUAAUUAUCCCAGGAUAAGAUCUUGGUUUUGUACUUGAGUGUCACAAUCAUUCAAGGACAACAUCUUGGUUUUGUAUUGUUGUUCAAUACUUACAAGUGUUUAAGCAAUAGAUCGUAGCCCACCAACUUGUACCUAACCUAGACUACUCAAAAAUAUAUCUGAGAGCAUUUCUAACCCUUCAAUCUAUAGGUCUUAUUUUUCAUUUUUUUAGCAACAAGAAGAAAUCACCAUUUUCAUUGAGAAUUACGUCUAUCUAUUUUUAAAAAUUAAAAAAUCAAACAUUUACACAAAUUGAAAACUACCAUGUAUAAAUGUGGAUUAAAAUUUAAAGAAACUUGAUGUGUAUAUUUUUUUUGUGGUUUGAUUAAUAUUUAGGUUACAAAAAUUAUCAAGUUUUUAUAAACACAAGUUCAAUUUUUUUUAAGUUCUAGUUUUUUAAUCACUAAGUAAGAGAAUAUUAGGAUACGUUGGAUAAGUGUGUUUUUUAGCAUGUUUUUAAUUUUUCUCUCGCUGUCACCAAUAUUUCUAAUCAAAUCUAUGUUCAUCACUAUUAUCACCACUCUCAAUUCCUCCCACCAUUGCUUCAUUUACAACUGUUGCUUCUCGCCACCAUAAUUUUUUCACUUUUGUCAUCUUUUCCCUGCCUCUCAUGCAUUUUUCCUCCAUUCUUCAACCAUUUCUUCUGCUUUUUCCUCAUUUUCUCUUCCUUUUCUUUCUUUCCCUCGCCACUUCCCUCUUAUCUCUCUUUCUCCACCCAUCUUUCCUAUUCACUGUCUCUUUCUCUAAAUCCAGUUAGGCUAUCAGAUCUAGGGAGAGAGAAGGAGAAUAAAGGAAAAAAAGAGAUCAUAGGAGGAUAAUGAGAGAAAGAUGAGUAAAUAGAAGAAGGGAAGGGGAAAUGAGGAAGGAAAUGAGAGAGAAAGAAAUGAAGAAAUAGAGAGAGAGGUAACUAUGUGGAUGAAUUGAGAGAAGGGAAAAAGAAGACGAGAGAGUGUAACUGCUGAUAGUAGCAAGUGAGGAAAGGGAGGCAGUGGUAGUGAAAAAAAAAGGAAAGGAUGGGAAGCGGCGAAAAGGCAGUGAUAUGAUUAAGUUACUAUAAAUAUGAUUUAGUUAAUUUAGCUAGUUAAGUUAAAUUUAAAUAUGAUUUAUUAUAAGGGGAGGAGUAGAAAGGAUAGCACGAAAAGAAGAAAUGUAAGUGAGGUGUUGUGAGUUAAAGGCAUAUUACUUACAUUAAAUACACAUCCCUCUUGAUAUAUGUAUGACUAAUAAAACGUUAAUGUUAAAAUUUGCGGAAUUAAAAGGGGGGAAGUAUUAGCCAACCAAUAAGCGGUAUGGUAUCCGACAAUGCAAAAGUGAAACUUCACUCGAUGCUUCACCCUUAAUUUGGGACCAGGGACAGGAACGGUUGCAAGUGCUGAAGGUUAUGUGCAUUUUACAUACGAUGUAACUCUGUUUGUACAUGGUGUAACUUACUUUUAACAACGUGUAAUUUUAGAACAAAAUUUUAUGGAUCCUCCACAUAUUAUUAAAAAUGAGAUACAAGAUGGGAUCUAAAUCGUAUAAUUUUUUUGAUCAAAUCUUGACCGUGAGCUGCUCAAGGACGGUUCGCUUGAUGGCUGUCCCUGCCCCAAAUCCCUUAAUUUGCGACCACUUGCGAUCCUCGUACGAUUCUUCAUAUACGGCAUACUCCGAAAGGUAGAAAGAGACCUGACGCAUACCAUCCAUCCAUACUAGGAAAAGGACGUUCCUUUUUUCAAAUACGAACGAUUGACCCACCAAGAAGCUGAGGGAUAAAAAAUUGGGAUAAUUUCACAAACCUCCCCUAAGGUUUCAUGAAAUAUCACCUAGCUCCCUUGAACUUUUUAAAAUCUCACUUAACACCCUUAAAAUGAUAGUAGGGCCAUAUGUUAAUAUCAAAGGUGAUGAAUUGUCAAUAACACCCUCCUAUUUAAAUUUUCUAAACUUGUUUUUCUUUCUCUAAAUGUCAAUAAAAUAUAGGAUUUAAUAAAUGAAAUAUUUAGCGCAUUUGGAGAAAAAUAGCUGCAGAUUCUUUUUUCCUCUUUUUUUUUGUGUUUCAUAACUUUAUUUAUUUAUUUAGUUAUUUGUUCCUAUUCAUGUAGAGCGCAAGAGAAAUAAAAUAACUAAAACACCGAACUGCAGUUUUACAAAUUCUGAGUUUUUUAUAAUAAAAUUUUCAUAUUUCUUUCCCAGAAAAAAGUCGGUCUAUUUUGAGUAAAUUCUCUGUAUGCUAUUGAAGUUGAAUUUCAUCUAUUGCUGAGUUUUUUGGCUCAAAUGUAUGCUUUUUACAUGCUAAUUGCCUUCAAUGCUAUGGAGGGUUUUAUUUAUAGAAAUGGUUUAAAAAAAUAUUUGCUUUUAUUGUCUCUCUCUACUAUAGAAAUGACUAUUGGUUGUAACAUAAAAUCUUAUAAAUUUUCAUCUUCUCAUUUUUAAAAUGAUUCCAAUUUAGUACUUUUUUUCUUGGUUUGUCAAAUGUUCAUUUUUCUAUAGGCUACGGGUAGUAAAGGCACUAAAAUAAUCUCUCUCCUCAAAUAUGAAUUUUUUAAUAUGACAAUGUUACCAAAAUGUCAAUUCGAGGGGUGCUAAGUGAGAUUUUGAAAACCUCAAGGGAGCCAGGUGAUAUUUCAUGAAACCUAGGGGAGAUUUCUGAAAUUAUCCCUAGAAAAUUUAAACGAGGUGAAAGGGGUGGUGGGUCCCGCGUUUGGACUUCACACUGGCUCUCUUCCCUGUGAUAACUCAUAGAAAUUAUCACUCCCAUCAUUGCUCUCUGCGACCCCUCGCCACGUCAUUAAACCUUCCCAUCAUCCAAUCGCUCCUCCCUCCCACUCGGCUUGCAUGAUACGGAUACCAUCGUGUCCGUUCGAUUCCUAGUGGACCCCGCACCCUACAAAGAAAUAUGGGCCCCACAUAUUUCUAGGGGCAUUUAUUUUUUCCUAGGCCCGUUUUCAGGGGAUAAAAAAUAGAACUCCCGAAACCCAUCCCAACGCCAACAGAGUACUCGCGCGGUGCUGCAGUUUCACUACUACCGGAGGCAGCAGCAGCUGCAGCAGUAGGUAGGAAGAUAGCUGUCACACUCAAAUGGACCAAAACGGCACCGUUAAUUCCCGUCAUCGUCGAUCGCCCUCCUCUGACAGAUUUCUCGGCGUUUUCUCUCCGACCGAACGAAGCACCGCUCUCAGUGCUUCUGGAGACAACUCUGCCUCCGGCGACGAGCUUAACGAAGACGACGUCUUCUGGACUGGUGACUUUACUGAGCCUCGUGGCCGGUCCUCUUCCCCUUCCUCAGUCAUCAACAUGCGCCAGCCCUUCCGGAAGCCGGAGAAUUUCGGUAUACUUGCUGCCUUGUCGGAUGACCACCGUAACCCCAACCAAUCUUUGCUCUACAGGAAGGCCUCUCUCUCUCCCUCGACGUCGUCGUUUAACAAAACCCCACUUUCGGCUUCACCUACUCAACCGUCGCCGUUUUCACGUGCGAUUCCUUCUAUUCCGAAGCCGCAGCAGAACUACAGCACCUACUCGCAGUCGAUGCCAGCAAGGAAGUUCCAACAGUCGGCUCCGGUGAAUGUGCCGAUGAUGCCGAGAAAGGUGAGGAACGGCUUGCUGGCUGACGUGGAUGUUGAUGAUAAUGACGCCGACGAUGAGAUGCUCCCGCCGCACGAGAUCGUUGCACGAGGAUCGGCGGCUGGGUCUCCGAAGACCACGUUCUCGGUGCUUGAAGGCGUCGGGAGAACUCUCAAAGGCAGAGAUCUUCGUCAGGUUCGCAACGCCGUCUGGCGCCAAACAGGUUUUGUCGAUUGAAAAGCUACGAUAUCUGAUUUUGACACAAAUAUACCCGUAUAAAUUGGGGUUUUUCGGACUGAGAAGUUUGAAUUUUUGCUAGCUUUUCAGAGGCCUAAGAUACAAUUGCUGUUGUAGUCAGCCGGGGACUUCAAAGGUUCCCCAUUUUGGCGCAUCGGAGUUAUUAUAGUGCUGAGGAUGUUAAAUGUGUUAUCUAUAAGAUUUUGUUGCGGAAGAAAUUCUUGUACCAUUAUGGUACAACCUGGAUAACAGAUACUAGUCUUGGUAGAAUUAAGAAGGAAGAACUUCUUUUUUCUGAAUUUCAAUCAUCUUCAAUACUUGAGGGACUAAUAAUAACAAUCGACCAUCCUCAAUAGUUAUCCUACUAGUUAUAAGGUUUGAAUGCUCAAAAUGAAGAAAUGAAAAUGAAGGAUAAUUGUUAGUUGUAAUAGUGGCUUUUAAGUUAUGGUAGGCUAAGUAUAUAAGCAGGUUGCUGCAGAUUAACUAGUUUUGCAAGUUAUAGGUACUUUAAAGUUAAAAAUCAAGGUCCACCUUUUCAAUACAUGGAUGCCGUAAGCAUUUGUACUCUGGUAGAGAUGGAGGACGCAGAGAAGACUGCCUUCUAUUAUAAAUUUGAGUACAUUUCAUGUAAUUUCCAAUGUGUGACUUUGUGAUCAAUCCACUUUGGUUUGGUAGGUUACCAUCACACACUCAAUUCCGAGUGUGGAUAUACUCUAAUCGAGUUAAACUUGGAUUACCUGGUAGUUUUCUAAAAUGUGUUAAUUAGUUGUGUAAUUUGAAAUAGGAUGGCCUGUUAGUUACUGUAUUGUCUUUUAGUCUUUCUGUGUUGCUUAUUUAAUAGUAUAGAAGGGUAUUGAUUGUCAAGAAAAAGAAAUACAACUACUUAGCACCUUGAUAUCAUUUUUGAUUUCAAAUAAUACUCUAUCCAAACAAACAUGCUUCCCGUCCAUGUUGUAACUGUAUUUAAUGGAAGUCCAAUGCAUUAACAUCAAUUAAUGUCAAAUGUUGUCUCAGGUAGAGGCCUGACAGGUAUUCAGCUGGUUCCUUUGCAUGCUCCAACUUUUGUACUAGUUCAUUGGAGAACUUGAAUAGAUUUUGUUCAGAUAUUGUUACUUUUUCCUGUUGGUAAAUUUUAGUAAUACAAGUGGGAGAUAGUCACUGUACAUUUUAUUCUACAUUUUAGACUGCAAAGUGUGUCCAUUUAGGAUAUUAGUGGUGCAAUGCUGAGGAAUGACAAACUUGUGCUGGACAAGAUUAGAGAAAGAAUAAUAAGUAGGUAAUGACAUUUUUCUUGGUGGUUGUGUAUUGAUGUGACCUAGAAUGGAAACUCAAAGGAAAUGCUGGUAGUCAACUCUUACAGGGAUCUUCAAAUUACUCUGAUUUCACUAAAUGUACUGUCGGGGAUAUUCCAGAUGCCGCUGUGUUGUGGAUACAUAUUAGUUGUAAGAGAACAAGAUUAUUUUUUUCUGAAAGUAGCAGGCCUGAGCUAUGCUUGCUAAUUAUGCUGUAGCUGGAAGGAGUACAAUAGUUUCUCUUCUGAUAAUUAUGUUUGCAAAUUUCACAAAAUGUACAAUAACUUUUAUUUGAUUUGUGUGCUUCUGAUAUUUUAGAUUGGACCAAAAGAGAGAGCAUUGCAUUUACCUUCUCUUUUUAGUUAACAUUAAGAAGCUCUUUGCUUUGCACUUUAUCAAACUCGUGAACUGGCUGUUCACACCACCACCAACGCAGUUGAUCUAACUUUCUUUAAGAUCAAUAGCCAUUAGCAUGGUUUGCACUUAACCCGCACAUUCGGUUAUGCUAUCGGCAUUGAUCAUUUCUUUGCGCAACUGCAUAUCCACCUUGUGACUAGUUAGAAACUUGCAGUUCACGUCUUUAGUCGGCUAGUUAUGAUUGAUAUUGGUUACGGCUUGGCAUAACCAUGGCGUACUGAAAUUUGAAAAAGUAACAGUUCUUACUUGGUCAGAAGUCACAUAAGUGAUGCCAUCAGCACUGUGUUUUGUUUAACUGUCAACGGGAUUGGCUUUGGUGAUAAAAGUUAUAUACCUGGUUUGAUGCUUCUUCUAGUCACCUAUACUUGAAGCUUAAUGCAUCCUGCACGAUUUUGUCAAAUAUGGUCCCAUUGAAAGAUCUGAAUAGUAUUUGAACCAAAAUUUUUUGCAGUUUGCCUGCCUUGACCACUUACAACUUAAAUGUGGAUAUUAUACCUGGUGUUAGUAAUCUUGUAGUCAUAUGGACUUGAAGAUCAAUGCAUCAUGCCAAACUCGGGUCACAUUUAGAAAUUUGAAUGGUAUUUGGAUUAGAAUUCUUCACAGUUACUCGAUUUUGUCUAAUCACAAUGUAUAGCUGUUAUAGUUUCAUGAAAGUAACUGGAAAUCAUGGUGUUCUAAUCAUGAUGAUUUAUUUAGUGAGAAAUGCUCUUACUCCAUGUGCAAUUGAUUGAAUGGAUUUUCAACGGUUACAAACUAAGGCUCGUGUUCUAGUUGUGUAGAGUCAAGACACUUCAUUCAACACUACUGUAUAUUACUAAUAGUAAAUAGUAUCGUGUUCAUGAUUAGAGAGACGAAAACUUGUUUGUACAAUCUGCACAAAGAAUCUAGAUCUAAAUCACCUUGAAACUAUUCAUGAAAACAAUAUAUGAAAUUCUAUAACUUUUACUGUUUGAAGGAACUUUUGCGAUGAGGCAAAUUCUAGCAGUUCAUUGGACCUAAUCUAAAGCAUUAUACGACCUAUUUACCAAGGCAUAGCAAGUAGGUUUCACAUUAUGAAAAAUCUAAAAUCUGAAUACUCUCUUCAUUUUGUAAAGGACUCGUAGUUAUUUGCAACUUUGCUUCGUUCAAAAUUUAAACUUGGACUUGAGUAGCUCAAGCUAUUUAAAUUCCUUGUGAUCUUACAUGAGAAGUCUAUUUUAAUCUAAUCUAUUUAAGGUGAAUGUCUAUUUUAUCAAUAUGUUUAAAACAUAAAUCUGUACUACUUGAGAACUCAAUUAAACUCGAAUUAUAGCGUGUUAAAACCGCCUGUUUAAGUACCUAUUAACGCCUCUAGUAUGUUAGCUGUAGUCAUGCUCCCACAUAAGGAUCUCCUUUACGUUAGAGCUUGAGGAAUAAUUAGAAAUGUGAGAAGCCUUGCUGAUUCUUGUUAUACUUUAGCGAAAUAAUUAAAAUAGAGGUAAGAAUAGUCGAUUCUCCAUUUCUUUAUCCAUGUUAGUAUAUUUUUUAAAUAAAAAAUUCAUAAUUCAUUCUCACAAAUCUGUACUAAUGGCACAAGAUGCAUCAAAUCAAAUUAGCAUGUGACAAAAAUAACAGAUAUAUUAGAUCUGAAAAAUUUUUAAAAAAAAAAUUAAAACCUUGUACAGAACAAAAUAGGAGAAAUAAAAGUCUACCUAUGAAAUCUUAGGAGAGAGAAUACUCUAAUUAAAAAAAACUUUGGACAGGCUUUAUUUAAACAAUACAAGAAAAUUAGAAAUUCGAGGAAGGGAGACCAUGGUCGAUUGAAAAAAUUUGUCUACAAGAGACAAAGAGCUUAUGAAGAUUACUAAUAAUGCUUAGUAUAGUGUGGAAUGAAAAAAGAUUUCGAUCUUUAACCAUGUCAUGUUUGGGAGACAAGGUAACUUUUUGCAUUCAUGAUCAACGCUACUGCUAUUUCUUCAUCCGAGUUAUGGGUUGGGGAACAAAGAACUUUGCUUUAAUGAUAAACGGUUGGGUAUUUAGCUCGGUUUUGUGCCUACACCUAAUUGUUCUUCACAUAAAUCUAUUCAUCGACAAUACAGAAUAUCAAGAUUCAGGCAAGACUAGGAACAAAUGCCCUUUCUUAUUUCUGAAUUGAUUUCGAUCAAAUUGGAGCACCUUUAUGCUUUUGAUCAGAAAGACGAGCGUCGGACAAAACGAGUCAGAUUUCCAUAUCCAGCAAACAAAAAGCGUGACAAGUCAGAAUAUCAAUAAGCGUUAAGUUGUGGAAGUUCACAGGGGGAAAGAAUCCCCUCACCGUCCAUGAUCAUUUUCCUCAUCCUUGCCACUAAAGGAUGCAACUGCCCGCAAAUGUCCAACAUAUCAGAUAAACUUUAAUUUUCCCCCAUAGAAACGCGCAAAUGCAACAAACAAAAGAAAAAAUUCAAGACCAAGAACAAUUUGAGGCCAGGGCAAACGCAAGUCAGGAUAUCAAUAAGCCUGAAAGCAGAGCUCAUGGAGGUAUUCACCUCUCGCACAUCUAAUUUUGUCUUCAUCCUCGCAAUGCCAUCCCGAAUCAAAAUCAAUCAAAUGAAAAAUUACAAGCACAAGAAACAGUAGCCCCUGUACUAAACAAUUAUUGAAUGCCCAAGGUAGUAAUUCCCCCAUAUUUGAUUCUGUUACAAUGAUAAAACUAAAAUCCAGAUGAAAAGAAAUGUACCCCACUUCACCGCGAGACAUUCACCAAUCAACAAUUUUGACCCUGCCAAACCCGAUGUCAGAACCCAAACAGAAAGUCAUCUGCCGGAAUUCCAACAAUUAGGAAAAAGCGGGCAGCCAAAAAAAAAAGUUAUGCCUCGACAAAUAAAAGAGAAGAGCGGGAUAAAACAGGACUGAAUCCUCAAUAGGAAAACCCUAAAGAGAAAGCCCUAGGCAUAUACGACACGCCCCAAAAAACAGGGUCUGUAGUAUAUAAUCGUUAAUCUAGCGCAGCUAUGACUCGAAACGCUUCCAUUGCUGAAAGGUGGAAGGCGAUCUUAAGGGCUGCGCCUGGGCAUAAUAUUUUUGAAUUGCUAUCAAACAUUCAAACGUCCAACUGAUUGAUAAUUGAAAGCACCAAGAGAGAAAAAGAUUGAAGCGAGAAUGAUUUCAAUUUUUCCCACUCAAAUCGAAUUGGUUCGUCAAACCCUAGCCUGCGGCCGUUGAGAUGUGGGGGAGCGGAGCAAGCCAGAGUUAUUUAUACUGGUACUUUUUAUCUUCCUCUUCUACGGGCCUGUGUCCCCUCGGAUUGCCGAGCCCAUUCGGCCAGAAAUUGCUUCCAUCAAUAAGGUUUAAAACACAAACCCUUGAAGUUGGCACACCGACUUGCAUGGACAACCCGGAUUGCAUUGCAUGCCUCCACACACUGGAAGAUCCAGCCCAAAGCCGCAAGUGAUAGAGCCCACCAAAAUUUAGACAACAGGUUACUCAAACACGUUCAGCAUCUCUAUAGACCUAGGCUUGGCUUGGAUUUUCCUCCCGUCUCCC
This 62896-nucleotide long non-coding RNA is filed under the name Coffea arabica (coffee). Its description in RNAcentral is "long non-coding RNA (CARA_LNC004472)". The record is from RNAcentral. Lineage: Eukaryota; Viridiplantae; Streptophyta; Magnoliopsida; Gentianales; Rubiaceae.